Molecule: long non-coding RNA, 53155 nt
Filed under: Brassica napus (rape)
Lineage: Eukaryota; Viridiplantae; Streptophyta; Magnoliopsida; Brassicales; Brassicaceae
Description: long non-coding RNA (BNAP_LNC011977)
Source: RNAcentral
AAUCUUCGUUUGCCUUUCUAUUACCAGUUAUCUGUAAGUAAUUGAUUUGUUGAAGUGAACUAACUUGUACCUAUCUUUGCUUUUUCGUUUUUAAUGUCACUAGGUGAGCUGUCAAGCAGUGAUGAAAAGAAAUACAAAAAUUUGAAAAGAGCAACAGAACGCGAGAUAACUCAGAGUGCUGAUGUCAUUUGCUCUACUUGUGUUGGUGCUGCGGAUCUUCGGCUGUCAAAUUUUAGAUUUAGACAGGUUAAGAUUAAUUACAAAAUUAAUUAUCUCUAGUUCUGUGGAAGCUAAUAUACCCUCCCUCUCUGAUAGGUCCUUAUUGAUGAGUCUACUCAGUCUACAGAACCUGAGUGUCUUAUUCCUUUGGUCCUCGGGGUAAAACAGGUAUUAAGGUUCUCAAGGAGCUGACUUGUUGCUGUUUAUUAUUGUCGGUUGCUUACGGAAUUUUUCUGCUCUAGGUUGUUCUUGUUGGUGAUCAUUGUCAGCUUGGCCCCGUAAUUAUGUGCAAGAAAGCAGCUCGUGCUGGCUUGGCACAGUCUCUCUUUGAACGCCUUGUGCUUCUUGGCAUUAAACCAAUUAGAUUGCAGGUACUACUUUAGUUGCUUUGCUCUAACCUAGCAGAUUUACCUCUCACAAUUUCUAUACGUCUCGCUGUCAAUUAAAUGUUGUCAUAUUCUUGAUUUCAGGUUCAAUAUCGUAUGCAUCCAGCGUUGUCCGAGUUUCCAUCCAAUAGCUUCUAUGAAGGAACACUACAGAAUGGAGUCACGGUUAAUGAAAGGCUAACAACAGGGAUUGAUUUCCCCUGGCCCGUACCUAAUAGGCCCAUGUUUUUCUAUGUUCAGGUAUCAAUUUUUCACUUGGAUUAGUUUAAAACCCAUUCAAAGUAAACGUCUUCCAUUUAUCUUGUCUUUCAAUUUACAGCUGGGGCAAGAGGAGAUCAGUGCUAGUGGAACAUCAUACCUAAAUAGAACCGAGGCUGCUAAUGUGGAGAAACUUGUGACCGCUUUCUUAAAGAGUGGAGUUGUCCCCAGUCAGGUGAGUGUAGUAGGAUUGUUUACCAUGUCUAGUAAAUUAUUUUCCAUGUGUUGACGUUUUCAAAUUAUGCUCGUUGUUACCAGAUUGGAGUGAUAACUCCGUACGAGGGACAGAGGGCAUAUAUUGUUAAUUACAUGGCAAGAAAUGGUUCUCUCCGACAGCAACUUUACAAGGAAAUUGAGGUAAAAUUGUUAAACUCUGUUUUAAAAAGGUUUAUUUUGAUCCUGUCACUUAUUUAACAAGCUCUCGAAUUUACACUUUUACAGGUUGCCAGUGUUGAUUCUUUUCAAGGAAGAGAAAAAGAUUACAUCAUAUUGUCCUGUGUCAGAAGUAACGAGCAUCAGGUUUGCGGGUGCUCUGUGGAUCAUUGCUUCUUACAAACAUUGUAGGAUUUGACUCGUAACUCCUGGUUUUAUGGUUUCCAGGGCAUUGGAUUCCUUAAUGAUCCACGGAGGCUCAAUGUUGCACUCACACGUGCUCGUUAUGGAAUUGUUAUUCUUGGAAACCCGAAGGUUCUUAGUAAACAGCCUCUGUGGAAUGGCUUGCUGACACAUUACAAGGUACACCUAUUUUUAAAGCAGAAGUGACGUCGUUUACCAGAUCUUUGUCUUCAACUUCUGUUGCCACUCAGGAAUCAGGAGUUGUUAAUUGUGAACCUUUGGCAUGUUAUCCUUUUAGUCCAAUUUGAUCAUUUUGUUUGUUUUCCUUAUAUGGGCAGGAACAUGAGUGUUUAGUUGAGGGACCUCUUAAUAAUUUAAAGCAGAGCAUGAUACAAUUCCAAAAACCAAGAAAGGUACCUAGACAUCGAUGCCCAUCAACAUAGAUUACAAGGAUAGAAGUAUGAACGUUAAUCAUCUUUCCUACUUUUUUAGAUGUAUAAUGAUCGCAGACCAUUUUAUGGUGGUGGGGCUGGCAUGAUUGGAAAUGAUAAUCCUAAUGCUGACAGAAGAGGCAGCCGUGGAAGGGGUAAGUAAAUGUCCAGUACCUUUUUGUAUCUUCGGUGAUUAUAUGUGUGUUUUUUUCAUUCGAUUGAUUCAGCUGGUGGUUGUCAUAUGCCUUCUGGCCCCACCUAGUGUGGAUCCCCAUUUUAAAAUCUUUUCUUCUAUUGAUUCAGCUGGUGGUUCUUAUAUGCCUUCUGGCCCACCUAGUGGUUCGAGAUUACACCCAGCUGGCUACCCAAUACCCAGGGUGCCAUUUUCACCGUUUCCUGGUGGUCCUCCUUCUCAGCCAUAUGCUAUUCCAACUCGUGGACCUGUUGGUACUGGUCGUGGAAGUUCAGUUGGGGGCCACCUUCCCCACCAACAAGCCACCCAGCAUAAUGUUGGAACUAUUGGCCCUAAUGUGAACUUCCCCCUUGAUAGUCCAAAUAGCCAGCCUUCACCUGGUGGUCCGCUAUCCCAACCUGGAUAUGUAAGUAUCGCCCUCAUCUCUUUUAAUUUUUUUCUUUCAUCUAGUAGUUUCUGAAGCAUUAGAGCUCGAUUGUUUUUGGUUGACUUUAAAUCAUCAUACGAUGUUGCCUUUUCAGGGAAGCCAAGCAUUCAGGGAUGGUUUUAUGGGCGGCAUUUCUCAGGUUGUCUUCUCGUUUUAUGUUACUUAGUGAUCAGUGGCAGUGUUUUCUACUUUUUGUCUGUUAUUUAAUAUCUUCUAUGUCAAUACCACCAGGAUUUCUUAGGUGAUGAUUUCAAGAGCCAGGGAUCUCAUGUUCCUUACAACAUGGGCGACUAUUCUACACAGGUAGUUUCUCUUCUGCCUGCUUUAGUUAUUAGACAUGUAAAUACUUUGGAUAUAUGAUAGUAGGACUACGAUAAGAUGUCUUUGGAAAUGUAAAACCAAAAUUCCGAGGUUGGGCCAGAUAUAUAUAACCAUGUGUUGCAAAGUUGAUAGUUCUUGAAUUUCACAUAGGAAUUACUGACUGUUCAUGUUUUUUGUAUAUGUUCUUCGUUUCUGAGCCAUAUUUGUAUAUAAUUUCUUUGUGGCAGUGUUUUCUACUUUUUGUCUGUUAUUUAAUAUCUUCUAUGUCAAUACCACCAGGAUUUCUUAGGUGAUGAUUUCAAGAGCCAGGGAUCUCAUGUUCCUUACAACAUGGGCGACUAUUCUACACAGGUAGUUUCUCUUCUGCCUGCUUUAGUUAUUAGACAUGUAAAUACUUUGGAUAUAUGAUAGUAGGACUACGAUAAGAUGUCUUUGGAAAUGUAAAACCAAAAUUCCGAGGUUGGGCCAGAUAUAUAUAACCAUGUGUUGCAAAGUUGAUAGUUCUUGAAUUUCACAUAGGAAUUACUGACUGUUCAUGUUUUUUGUAUAUGUUCUUCGUUUCUGAGCCAUAUUUGUAUAUAAUUUCUUUGUAUGCCUCACAGGGAGGAUAUGCGGUUGAUUAUGCCACACAAGGAGCCCAUGGAGCUUUUCCUGGAAACUUUAUGAACCAGAAUUCUCAAGGGGGUUAUUCUCGUUUCAGUGGGAGUAAUGAUUUCAUGUCCCAGGUGUGUUUCACCUAGCCUUUCCUUUUAACACUUUUUUUUUCUUAAUUCUUAGACCUUCGUCUGAGUCCUCUAUUACCGACACAGGAGUAUAUGCCGCAUGGAGCACAAGGUCUUUUCACCCAAGCUGGCUUUAUCGACUACAAACCGUGCGUUUUCAACGGAAGUCCCGUCGACGAUCGAUUCGAGUUUCGUGGAGGCAUGGAAGAAAGUCGCACCGAACAUGGACCCGCCGCAGACUCCUUCUUCCUUCAUGAAGCCUCGUCCAUCGACUGCUUCCUCGAUUCCGACGAUAGUUCGUUUGCAUUAACGUUUACAAUUAACAAAAAAGGAGGAUUCUUAAGAUAGCGAAGGUUGUGUGUUUAUAUAGAGAGAAUUACACACUAAACAUUAACCCAAACUCAUACAAACAAUUGAGGCCUUUCGAGUUUGUGUUCACCAUAUUAAUCUUUGGUACUCAUGUUUCUUUUCAAAAGAUGCUAACGACUCUUCGUCUCACAGGGUCUCCCGAAUUCACUCUACUCGCAGCCUUUCUCACACUACACCCAGCCACUAAACCUUUCAGGCCCACAGCAAUCUCAACCUCCUAACCAAGGCUCACAAAACCCAAAACCUCCUCACAACGGCUAAAGAUGACACAUGCAGAAGCUGAAUGCAAACGGGUUUGUAAACCUUUUUUUUUGCAAAUUCAGCAGUUUGGUAUCAUGCUAUCACGGCUCCAAACAAACAUCUGGUGGCUUCUCGGGGUGCUUGCAAGUUACGUGCCUUUCUGGCUCGCUUAGCAACAGGUAAUGAUGAUGCAGAGAGACAUGUACCUAAGUAACCCGAGGAGAUUCUUGGUCCAUACAUCCUCUGGGCUUAUAUAAAUGUUUGGUUUUGCCGUGUAAUAUUAUAAUAUCAUCCUCUUAUUGUAGUCUAUAUCUGAAGCUACCCUUAGUUAAAAAUCGGUGUUGGUGUCUGGUGAUAUUGAUAUGAGUACUGCAAACUCUCUUGCCUUUAUUUAUUUUUUUCUGGAUAUUUCGCUUAAUGCGUGUCUGAAUUAUUGUUUCUGCUUCCGUGGUAUUUAUUAUAUGAUCAUCUAUGAGAUAUGUGCAAGUUUUGGUUCCAGAUAGUGUCCUAUGGGGAUUGUCCAAUCGGUUUUGGGUAUCGGACAUAUUAACACCGACUUUCUUAGGUUUGUUACGGUUUCAGGAAGUACCGCUCGUGGAACCAUCCAUACAAGCAUCGGAUUCUACCCCGGGUGUGAUCCCACAAAGUUUGGUGUUACAUUUUUUUUUUCUCUGUGUCUCGGAAGGAAUAUAUCAAAAUAAAAUGUAAGUUUUCACAGAAAAAACGGUAUAUUAUUUUCAUCAUAUUGUGCGUAUUUUUGGCUUUGGUGAAGGUUAUUAGUCCAGAAAGGACAAAGCCCAUUUGGGUUGGUUUUGGACACGAAAGGGAUUGUGCAGCAUUGGCAAAUAGUGGUUAACGUUCGUCUAUCUGGUCUGGUGUUCCUUGUGAGGACCGUAGUUGGGCCCAAAUAUCAUAAAGAAACACACGAAACACUCUCCGUUUUUGGUUUUGAUCCCAGACAGACAAGAACACUCUCUCAUGUAUGGCAAAUGCCCUCCCUCUUUAAAUCAAAUAACGGACAGGAAGCAGUUGCGGCCCUGGGUAUAAGCAUUAGAAACAUCUGAUUCCGGCCGUUGAUAAUUAACAAAAUUUUCAGCCUAUUUAUAAAAUAUGCCAGUAGGUUAGAUGAUCAAACUAGCUAACAAAUCCCUCCAUAAUAAAAUUUUGGGUUUCUAGUCUUUGUUUUUGUAGAGCUUUUUACUGCUGGGCCUGAGUAGAAAUCAAGAAACAUAAAUAGAUAGAAAUGUGAGAUGUCCAGGACUUUAUGCCUGCUCUCUCUCUCUCUCUUUCUCGAGUCACUCUCAAAAUCUGGUUCGGGUUAGGUUAUAGACAUUUUAUGUGGAACUCAAAAACUGAGAUAGGAUCAAUACUUUUAAAAAUCUAUGCAUUUCUUAUUUUCCAAAACCCAAACAAACAAACCAAACGAAUAUUUUAAUUUUACUGAAAGUAUUAUUUGUAUUUAAUUUUAAAAUAAUUAUAUAUAAAUAUAGUUUAUAAUUAAAACAAGUACAUUUAUAUAUUUUUUUCAGCUACUAGCCAAUUCUCGAUAUUUUUAGCAAAAUCGAACUGAAUUCUGUAGAAACCCUGUCUAAACCUGAAAGCACCGACAGUGCCGGCUCAAUAGGGAGUGCGGCCGGUGCGACCGCCCCGGGUCCGGUUCAAAUCUUACAAUAUUAGGGGCCCUAAUUAUUUAAUUAGCAUAUCUGAUUUAGAUUUAAACAGUAUUAAAACGAUGUAUCAUAAUUUUUUCUAGUUAAAUUAUCAAAGAGAAUAUACAUGUUUGAUGCUCGAGUCGAAAUUUCAGGAAAUUUUUUUACCAACGUUAAAAAAUUAACUUACUAUAGGGGCUUUAAAAUUCUUUUUGCCCAAGGGCCCUUCUAUAUAUUAAGCCGGCCCUGAGCACCGAAAACCAUAAACUCGAACUGGAACCAAACUAUAAUGCCCUCUGCCUAAAUCAAACACUGAAAAUCUGAAACUUUGUAACCCAUUUGCUACUUGUGUUACAGGCUUCACGGUACACAGAUAUAUCCUAUUGAUUAAAUAGUGGGCUUUAAGACAAGGCCUUUCCAGUUUUUGUGGGCCGAAACUGAAAAUAAAAUGCUACACUUGCCCACCAGCGAACGUGAACAUCAGAGUCACAGAUAACAACACUUGAGAGAGUUAUCAGAAAGAGUUCCCUAUCGACACUCUCUCUCUCUCUCUCUUCCUCUCAGCAUCAUCAUCACCACCAAAUCGCCGCCAUGUUCAGACAAGCUUCUCGCCUCGUCUCCCGAUCUAUCACCGCCAAAUCGGCGACAAACCGUGCGUUUUCAACGGAAGUCCCGUCGACGAUCGAUUCGAGUUUCGUGGAGGCAUGGAAGAAAGUCGCACCGAACAUGGACCCGCCGCAGACUCCUUCUUCCUUCAUGAAGCCUCGUCCAUCGACUGCUUCCUCGAUUCCGACGAAGCUCACCGUCAAUUUCGUCCUCCCUUACGCAUCUGAGCUUUCCGGGAAAGAGGUCGGCUUUCAUUUUUCCUCGUUCGAUGUUCGCAUUUAGGUUUCUAGGGUUUGAUCUAUGACUCUGUGUGUUAUGGUUACAUAUUUGAUUGUUGUUUGAUUUCAUGAUAAGGUGGUUAAUUAGGUCUGAAGACUUUUGAUUUUUGGUUAGAUCUAACGGCGCUAAAGUUUAGGGUUUUGAUAGGCCAAAGCUGAAACUGGCGCAGUUGAUGUUUCGUUUAGUUUCUACAUAAUUGUUAAUAACAAGAUCAAGAACAAAAAAAAAAGCCUCACUUUUUAGUGAUUAAGAAUAACCUAAAUCUCCCUAAUUUCUCAGGUUUACCAUUUGUUGUCUCUGCAAAAUGUUGCUUGCUAUAAAUCCAUUAAAAUUUUAUUAAGAGUUUUGUUAUCUCUGCUCUGUUCAUAACCAAAUGAUCCUGGUGUGUUUUUUACGGUUUCUAAUACAAUGUGAUUGGCAAAUAAUGUUUGUUUCAUAUAUCUUGAAACUUUGAUGUUGACAAAUUAUAACUGCUGAUUUCUAAUGUGUUAAUUGGUUUUGUGAAGGUUAAUCUUUUCUCUUCUAUUGAUAUAUGAUGUGGUAUACAUAUAGACUGAAUCUCCAUGGCAAGUAGUAAUUUCUCAUUGGCUUAUUCUCAUAUGUUGGUGGUGCAUUCACUGUGAUAUCUCUUCUGUAGAAUAUACAUUCAGUACUGAAAGUUCUUAUCGUCCCUGACUUGCUUUCUGAUGCAUCCAUUGCUUAUAUCCGAGAACGUAAACCUAUUUCUUGAUUGGUUUGUUUUCUUGUAUAUAUUUAAUUAUAACUCAAAGCUUAUUGGCUUUUUCUCUUUUGUCUACUUCAAGGUCGACAUGGUCAUCAUUCCCGCGACAACAGGACAAAUGGGUGUUUUGCCUGGACACGUUCCAACAAUCGCUGAGCUCAAACCCGGUAUCAUGUCCGUCCACGAAGGUACUGACAUCAAGAAAUACUUUGUGAGCAGUGGAUUUGCAUUUCUCCACGCAAAUUCCGUUGCUGACAUUAUCGCGGUUGAGGCCGUGCCGCUUGAGAACAUCGACGCAAGCCAAGUCCAAAAGGGUUUAGCUGAGUUUACACAGAAACUUGCUUCUGCCACAACAGAUCUUGAGAAAGCAGAAGCACAGAUUGGUGUCGAAGUUCACAGUGCUAUGAACGCAGCUCUCUCGGGCUGAUGAUGAGUGAAAGUCUCUUUUUUACUACUACAAAUGAUGGAAUAAAUUAGAAAAUGAUUUUAUUUUUCCUUUUCGUAAUUGUGUUGGACUUUUUGGAAUAAAUGAUUUUGUUGAAGGCACAAACCAACAGAAAGUUAUUAUUCUUCUCGACUUAUGUUUGUUUUGAGAUUGAGAAACUAAGUUCCCGAAUUGAUUUAUGGUUUUCAUUUCCUAAAAUUCUUUUUUUCUCACUUUGGGCCAUUUUUGCAAUGUCACUUCAGAACGAUUAAAAAUUGUUGGUUUUUCUUGUUGAUUUUGAAACUCUCUCGAAGUGACAAUAUUAGUGUUUUACAGUGACCUAGAAAUAAUAUGAUUUUUAAAAUAUCGAACAACUCAUAUCAUGAUUAACAUAUCAUACUGUACGUAGGCUGGGACGGAUCCAGAUAUUCGGAAAAUUUAAUAUCCGGAUUUCGGAUAUCCGUCUCGAUAUUUUAUUACCCGCGGAUAUCCGGAUCCGUAAAAAUAAUUAAAAAUAAUAUUUUUUUUUAAAACUAAAAUUUUAAUAUAAUAUAUAAACCUGUUGGUACUGGUCGUGGAAGUUCAGUUGGGGGCCACCUUCCCCACCAACAAGCCACCCAGCAUAAUGUUGGAACUAUUGGCCCUAAUGUGAACUUCCCCCUUGAUAGUCCAAAUAGCCAGCCUUCACCUGGUGGUCCGCUAUCCCAACCUGGAUAUGUAAGUAUCGCCCUCAUCUCUUUUAAUUUUUUUCUUUCAUCUAGUAGUUUCUGAAGCAUUAGAGCUCGAUUGUUUUUGGUUGACUUUAAAUCAUCAUACGAUGUUGCCUUUUCAGGGAAGCCAAGCAUUCAGGGAUGGUUUUAUGGGCGGCAUUUCUCAGGUUGUCUUCUCGUUUUAUGUUACUUAGUGAUCAGGGGCAGUCUUUUCUACUUUUGUCUGUUAUUUAAUAUCUUCUAUGUCAAUACCACCAGGAUUUCUUAGGUGAUGAUUUCAAGAGCCAGGGAUCUCAUGUUCCUUACAACAUGGGCGACUAUUCUACACAGGUAGUUUCUCUUCUGCCUGCUUUAGUUAUUAGACAUGUAAAUACUUUGGAUAUAUGAUAGUAGGACUACGAUAAGAUGUCUUUGGAAAUGUAAAACCAAAAUUCCGAGGUUGGGCCAGAUAUAUAUAACCAUGUGUUGCAAAGUUGAUAGUUCUUGAAUUUCACAUAGGAAUUACUGACUGUUCAUGUUUUUUGUAUAUGUUCUUCGUUUCUGAGCCAUAUUUGUAUAUAAUUUCUUUGUAUGCCUCACAGGGAGGAUAUGCGGUUGAUUAUGCCACACAAGGAGCCCAUGGAGCUUUUCCUGGAAACUUUAUGAACCAAAAUUCUCAAGGGGGUUAUUCUCGUUUCAGUGGGAGUAAUGAUUUCAUGUCCCAGGUGUGUUUCACCUAGCCUUUCCUUUUAACACAGUUUUUUUUCCUUAAUUCCUAGACCUUCGUCUGAGUCCUCUAUUGUUGACACAGGAGUAUAUGGCGCAUGGAGCACAAGGUCUUUUCACCCAAGCUGGCUUUAUCGACUCAUCUCAGGAUGAUGGACAACAGAAUCCUUUUGGUGUGAACAAUCCUAAUCUUCAGUCUCAGGUUUGUCCUUAAUCCUAAUCCUUGAUAGUUCGUUUGCAUUAACGUUUACAAUUAACAAAAAAGGAGGAUUCUUAAGAUAGCGAAGGUUGUGUGUUUAUAUAGAGAGAAUUACACACUAAACAUUAACCCAAACUCAUACAAACAAUUGAGGCCUUUCGAGUUUGUGUUCACCAUAUUAAUCUUUGGUACUCAUGUUUCUUUUCAAAAGAUGCUAACGACUCUUCGUCUCACAGGGUCUCCCGAAUUCACUCUACUCGCAGCCUUUCUCACACUACACCCAGCCACUAAACCUUUCAGGCCCACAGCAAUCUCAACCUCCUAACCAAGGCUCACAAAACCCAAAACCUCCUCACAACGGCUAAAGAUGACACAUGCAGAAGCUGAAUGCAAACGGGUUUGUAAACCUUUUUUUUUGCAAAUUCAGCAGUUUGGUAUCAUGCUAUCACGGCUCCAAACAAACAUCUGGUGGCUUCUCGGGGUGCUUGCAAGUUACGUGCCUUUCUGGCUCGCUUAGCAACAGGUAAUGAUGAUGCAGAGAGACAUGUACCUAAGUAACCCGAGGAGAUUCUUGGUCCAUACAUCCUCUGGGCUUAUAUAAAUGUUUGGUUUUGCCGUGUAAUAUUAUAAUAUCAUCCUCUUAUUGUAGUUUAUAUCUGAAGCUACCCUUAGUUAAAAAUCGGUGUUGGUGUCUGGUGAUAUUGAUAUGAGUACUGCAAACUCUCUUGCCUUUAUUUAUUUUUUUCUGGAUAUUUCGCUUAAUGCGUGUCUGAAUUAUUGUUUCUGCUUCCGUGGUAUUUAUUAUAUGAUCAUCUAUGAGAUAUGUGCAAGUUUUGGUUCCAGAUAGUGUCCUAUGGGGAUUGUCCAAUCGGUUUUGGGUAUCGGACAUAUUAACACCGACUUUCUUAGGUUUGUUACGGUUUCAGGAAGUACCGCUCGUGGAACCAUCCAUACAAGCAUCGGAUUCUACCCCGGGUGUGAUCCCACAAAGUUUGGUGUUACAUUUUUUUUUUCUCUGUGUCUCGGAAGGAAUAUAUCAAAAUAAAAUGUAAGUUUUCACAGAAAAAACGGUAUAUUAUUUUCAUCAUAUUGUGCGUAUUUUUGGCUUUGGUGAAGGUUAUUAGUCCAGAAAGGACAAAGCCCAUUUGGGUUGGUUUUGGACACGAAAGGGAUUGUGCAGCAUUGGCAAAUAGUGGUUAACGUUCGUCUAUCUGGUCUGGUGUUCCUUGUGAGGACCGUAGUUGGGCCCAAAUAUCAUAAAGAAACACACGAAACACUCUCCGUUUUUGGUUUUGAUCCCAGACAGACAAGAACACUCUCUCAUGUAUGGCAAAUGCCCUCCCUCUUUAAAUCAAAUAACGGACAGGAAGCAGUUGCGGCCCUGGGUAUAAGCAUUAGAAACAUCUGAUUCCGGCCGUUGAUAAUUAACAAAAUUUUCAGCCUAUUUAUAAAAUAUGCCAGUAGGUUAGAUGAUCAAACUAGCUAACAAAUCCCUCCAUAAUAAAAUUUUGGGUUUCUAGUCUUUGUUUUUGUAGAGCUUUUUACUGCUGGGCCUGAGUAGAAAUCAAGAAACAUAAAUAGAUAGAAAUGUGAGAUGUCCAGGACUUUAUGCCUGCUCUCUCUCUCUCUCUUUCUCGAGUCACUCUCAAAAUCUGGUUCGGGUUAGGUUAUAGACAUUUUAUGUGGAACUCAAAAACUGAGAUAGGAUCAAUACUUUUAAAAAUCUAUGCAUUUCUUAUUUUCCAAAACCCAAACAAACAAACCAAACGAAUAUUUUAAUUUUACUGAAAGUAUUAUUUGUAUUUAAUUUUAAAAUAAUUAUAUAUAAAUAUAGUUUAUAAUUAAAACAAGUACAUUUAUAUAUUUUUUUCAGCUACUAGCCAAUUCUCGAUAUUUUUAGCAAAAUCGAACUGAAUUCUGUAGAAACCCUGUCUAAACCUGAAAGCACCGACAGUGCCGGCUCAAUAGGGAGUGCGGCCGGUGCGACCGCCCCGGGUCCGGUUCAAAUCUUACAAUAUUAGGGGCCCUAAUUAUUUAAUUAGCAUAUCUGAUUUAGAUUUAAACAGUAUUAAAACGAUGUAUCACAAUUUUUUCUAGUUAAAUUAUCAAAGAGAAUAUACAUGUUUGAUGCUCGAGUCGAAAUUUCAGGAAAUUUUUUUACCAACGUUAAAAAAUUAACUUACUAUAGGGGCUUUAAAAUUCUUUUUGCCCAAGGGCCCUUCUAUAUAUUAAGCCGGCCCUGAGCACCGAAAACCAUAAACUCGAACUGGAACCAAACUAUAAUGCCCUCUGCCUAAAUCAAACACUGAAAAUCUGAAACUUUGUAACCCAUUUGCUACUUGUGUUACAGGCUUCACGGUACACAGAUAUAUCCUAUUGAUUAAAUAGUGGGCUUUAAGACAAGGCCUUUCCAGUUUUUGUGGGCCGAAACUGAAAAUAAAAUGCUACACUUGCCCACCAGCGAACGUGAACAUCAGAGUCACAGAUAACAACACUUGAGAGAGUUAUCAGAAAGAGUUCCCUAUCGACACUCUCUCUCUCUCUCUCUUCCUCUCAGCAUCAUCAUCACCACCAAAUCGCCGCCAUGUUCAGACAAGCUUCUCGCCUCGUCUCCCGAUCUAUCACCGCCAAAUCGGCGACAAACCGUGCGUUUUCAACGGAAGUCCCGUCGACGAUCGAUUCGAGUUUCGUGGAGGCAUGGAAGAAAGUCGCACCGAACAUGGACCCGCCGCAGACUCCUUCUUCCUUCAUGAAGCCUCGUCCAUCGACUGCUUCCUCGAUUCCGACGAAGCUCACCGUCAAUUUCGUCCUCCCUUACGCAUCUGAGCUUUCCGGGAAAGAGGUCGGCUUUCAUUUUUCCUCGUUCGAUGUUCGCAUUUAGGUUUCUAGGGUUUGAUCUAUGACUCUGUGUGUUAUGGUUACAUAUUUGAUUGUUGUUUGAUUUCAUGAUAAGGUGGUUAAUUAGGUCUGAAGACUUUUGAUUUUUGGUUAGAUCUAACGGCGCUAAAGUUUAGGGUUUUGAUAGGCCAAAGCUGAAACUGGCGCAGUUGAUGUUUCGUUUAGUUUCUACAUAAUUGUUAAUAACAAGAUCAAGAACAAAAAAAAAAGCCUCACUUUUUAGUGAUUAAGAAUAACCUAAAUCUCCCUAAUUUCUCAGGUUUACCAUUUGUUGUCUCUGCAAAAUGUUGCUUGCUAUAAAUCCAUUAAAAUUUUAUUAAGAGUUUUGUUAUCUCUGCUCUGUUCAUAACCAAAUGAUCCUGGUGUGUUUUUUACGGUUUCUAAUACAAUGUGAUUGGCAAAUAAUGUUUGUUUCAUAUAUCUUGAAACUUUGAUGUUGACAAAUUAUAACUGCUGAUUUCUAAUGUGUUAAUUGGUUUUGUGAAGGUUAAUCUUUUCUCUUCUAUUGAUAUAUGAUGUGGUAUACAUAUAGACUGAAUCUCCAUGGCAAGUAGUAAUUUCUCAUUGGCUUAUUCUCAUAUGUUGGUGGUGCAUUCACUGUGAUAUCUCUUCUGUAGAAUAUACAUUCAGUACUGAAAGUUCUUAUCGUCCCUGACUUGCUUUCUGAUGCAUCCAUUGCUUAUAUCCGAGAACGUAAACCUAUUUCUUGAUUGGUUUGUUUUCUUGUAUAUAUUUAAUUAUAACUCAAAGCUUAUUGGCUUUUUCUCUUUUGUCUACUUCAAGGUCGACAUGGUCAUCAUUCCCGCGACAACAGGACAAAUGGGUGUUUUGCCUGGACACGUUCCAACAAUCGCUGAGCUCAAACCCGGUAUCAUGUCCGUCCACGAAGGUACUGACAUCAAGAAAUACUUUGUGAGCAGUGGAUUUGCAUUUCUCCACGCAAAUUCCGUUGCUGACAUUAUCGCGGUUGAGGCCGUGCCGCUUGAGAACAUCGACGCAAGCCAAGUCCAAAAGGGUUUAGCUGAGUUUACACAGAAACUUGCUUCUGCCACAACAGAUCUUGAGAAAGCAGAAGCACAGAUUGGUGUCGAAGUUCACAGUGCUAUGAACGCAGCUCUCUCGGGCUGAUGAUGAGUGAAAGUCUCUUUUUUACUACUACAAAUGAUGGAAUAAAUUAGAAAAUGAUUUUAUUUUUCCUUUUCGUAAUUGUGUUGGACUUUUUGGAAUAAAUGAUUUUGUUGAAGGCACAAACCAACAGAAAGUUAUUAUUCUUCUCGACUUAUGUUUGUUUUGAGAUUGAGAAACUAAGUUCCCGAAUUGAUUUAUGGUUUUCAUUUCCUAAAAUUCUUUUUUUCUCACUUUGGGCCAUUUUUGCAAUGUCACUUCAGAACGAUUAAAAAUUGUUGGUUUUUCUUGUUGAUUUUGAAACUCUCUCGAAGUGACAAUAUUAGUGUUUUACAGUGACCUAGAAAUAAUAUGAUUUUUAAAAUAUCGAACAACUCAUAUCAUGAUUAACAUAUCAUACUGUACGUAGGCUGGGACGGAUCCAGAUAUUCGGAAAAUUUAAUAUCCGGAUUUCGGAUAUCCGUCUCGAUAUUUUAUUACCCGCGGAUAUCCGGAUCCGUAAAAAUAAUUAAAAAUAAUAUUUUUUUUUAAAACUAAAAUUUUAAUAUAAUACAUAAAUUAAAUAUUUAUAUAAGAUUUAUAAAUAUAUUUAUAUAUAUCUAUAAUAUUGUAAUAACUAAUAUUAUAAGAUUAAUUCAUGUAUAAAUAUUAAUAUAUCAAAUAUAAUUAUUAAUGAAAUUUAAAAAUUUAAUGUGUUUUAAAAAUACGGAUCCGGAUCCGGAUAUUCCGGACCUAAAAAUUAAAAUAUCCGGAUCCGGAUUCUGUUUGGACGGAUCCAAGAUUUUACUAUCCGAAUAUCCUAUUUUCGGAGGACCCGGAGCGGAUUUCAAAUCGAAUUCGGAUCUCGAAUAAUAAGUCUCAUGCUUAACUGUAAGAAUACUGAAUUUGUAAGAGAAAAUAAUUAAAUUAGAUUGUCAUUACGUACACAAACUUACAAUAUAGAUGAGAUGUGAGUGAGAGUGAAACACCACGAAGGUACUGACAUCAAGAAAUACUUUGUGAGCAGUGGAUUUGCAUUUCUCCACGCAAAUUCCGUUGCUGACAUUAUCGCGGUUGAGGCCGUGCCGCUUGAGAACAUCGACGCAAGCCAAGUCCAAAAGGGUUUAGCUGAGUUUACACAGAAACUUGCUUCUGCCACAACAGAUCUUGAGAAAGCAGAAGCACAGAUUGGUGUCGAAGUUCACAGUGCUAUGAACGCAGCUCUCUCGGGCUGAUGAUGAGUGAAAGUCUCUUUUUUACUACUACAAAUGAUGGAAUAAAUUAGAAAAUGAUUUUAUUUUUCCUUUUCGUAAUUGUGUUGGACUUUUUGGAAUAAAUGAUUUUGUUGAAGGCACAAACCAACAGAAAGUUAUUAUUCUUCUCGACUUAUGUUUGUUUUGAGAUUGAGAAACUAAGUUCCCGAAUUGAUUUAUGGUUUUCAUUUCCUAAAAUUCUUUUUUUCUCACUUUGGGCCAUUUUUGCAAUGUCACUUCAGAACGAUUAAAAAUUGUUGGUUUUUCUUGUUGAUUUUGAAACUCUCUCGAAGUGACAAUAUUAGUGUUUUACAGUGACCUAGAAAUAAUAUGAUUUUUAAAAUAUCGAACAACUCAUAUCAUGAUUAACAUAUCAUACUGUACGUAGGCUGGGACGGAUCCAGAUAUUCGGAAAAUUUAAUAUCCGGAUUUCGGAUAUCCGUCUCGAUAUUUUAUUACCCGCGGAUAUCCGGAUCCGUAAAAAUAAUUAAAAAUAAUAUUUUUUUUUAAAACUAAAAUUUUAAUAUAAUACAUAAAUUAAAUAUUUAUAUAAGAUUUAUAAAUAUAUUUAUAUAUAUCUAUAAUAUUGUAAUAACUAAUAUUAUAAGAUUAAUUCAUGUAUAAAUAUUAAUAUAUCAAAUAUAAUUAUUAAUGAAAUUUAAAAAUUUAAUGUGUUUUAAAAAUACGGAUCCGGAUCCGGAUAUUCCGGACCUAAAAAUUAAAAUAUCCGGAUCCGGAUUCUGUUUGGACGGAUCCAAGAUUUUACUAUCCGAAUAUCCUAUUUUCGGAGGACCCGGAGCGGAUUUCAAAUCGAAUUCGGAUCUCGAAUAAUAAGUCUCAUGCUUAACUGUAAGAAUACUGAAUUUGUAAGAGAAAAUAAUUAAAUUAGAUUGUCAUUACGUACACAAACUUACAAUAUAGAUGAGAUGUGAGUGAGAGUGAAACAAUGAAAGGAGAUACAGACUGUCUGUGGGUCUCAGACCAUCUCCAACCUCACUCUAUAAUUUACUGUAAAAUUGAGUGAGAAAUGAAAUAAUAAAGAAACAAAAAAAUGACUACUCCAUGAAUAGAGUGAUUUUUCAUUUUUGGUUCAUACUAUAUUUUCUACUCCAUUUUUGGAGUAAAUUACGGAGUGGGGACGGAGAUGCCCUUAGAAACACAAGAGCUUUGGGAGGGGUUACACCAUGGACAGACUCCUUCAAAUGCAUUCUCCAGAACGUCUUCCAUUCUCUUUGCCAAUAUCACCCGUUCAUUCAAUACCAAUUUACAUGAAAGUCUAGUUUCAAGGUAUUUCAUAGAAAAGCACAUGUUUUUUCUUGUUUUGGUGGUUGACCACAUACUAAUCCGCAGAACCACCAAGCUUAGACUCUAGAAAACGAAGGCCAACCCAGAGCUGGCCUUAAUAUUGACCGGCCUGAGCUGAAUUAGACUAGCUCAAAGAUACUAACUCCAAAUACAAUACCAAGCAGAAGACUAAAGGUUGAAGUUCUGCACCAGUUAGCUCUUACAUGGGUAAACACAUUCACUUGACUGCACCAACUAUUCAGAACAUAGAAAGUAGUAGUUGAUCAUGUAUUGAUUAGAUCCUUGAUGCAGCGCAUCCUGAUCGGUUUAGCAUCUCGUUUACACACUAAACCGAGUUCGUAUAGUCCUUAUCUAUUUAGGAGUUUGAGCUUUAUCUUUUAGUAUUAGUGGCUUUAAUCAUAUGUUUAGAUCAUUCUUCUUCACGUGUUUUCUUUAGGGUUAACAAUGAUCUCAUUAUAUAAGAGACUCAUUUCCACUUAAAAAGGGCACGACUUAUUUUGAUUAAUAAUAUUAAGAGCUUUUCAACUCUAAACCCUUGUUCUUGGAUAGAGCUAGACUCUCUACGAUCUCAAGAAGGCAACGUCUUCUAGGUAUUCUCAGAAUCAAUAAGUUACUUGCAGUAUCCGUAGCUUCCGCAUCAGUUGGUAUCAGAGACAGCAGGUUUGAUUUUCUCGGUCAAACCACGAUCCUCGGUAUCAAUUUUAUUUUGUUCUUUUCUAAGGAUGCUCGUGGUGAGUCAUGGAUACAUGACGGUGACGGCGUCGAUUGGAGUCUUUUUAUCGUGUAUGGUGAGAAUUAUUCUCAAGUUCAAGAUUUCUACGACGAGAUCUAUGGACCUCCAAUAUACGACGUUUAUGAUGACGAUUAUCAGGUUGAAUAUGGAGUUUACAAUGGUCAGGUUCAAGACAACGUUUCUGAAGUUGGUCUUCACGCGGUGGAAGAUGUGCAACUUGAACAUGGUGAAGAAGUUGCCAAGAUCAUAAACUUUGUCUUUGGUGACAAAGCUUUUGACACGUUUUUGAACAUUACGUGUUCUUAUGGGUUGACAAGAGCAUUAUGUGGAGAGUCUUUAUCAACCAAAUAGUUAUUGAAGUCUGGUGUGACUUGUCCAUUCUUUCGAGAAAGUCAACUUCUAUCUUGUGUCAAAUAUAGUAAUGCACGUCAACAGGUUUUGAAAAAUUUCAAGCUUGCUAUGAAGUUUGAUGUUUAAAAUCGUAAGUGGGCACUUUUUUCUCAUGGAUGCAUCAAGAUUCGAUGACGAAUUUUCUUCUAUCCCGAGAGACCUGAUGCAAUGCAUCCUCAUCGGUUUAGCAUCUCGCUUACACACUAAACCGAGUUCGUGUAGUCCUUAUCUGUUUAGGAGUUUGAGCUUUAUCUUUUAGUAUUAGUGGCUUUAAUUAUAUGUUUAAUUCACUACAAGAAAACACAUGCUUAACGACGAAAAUUAACGAGGAAAAUAAUUAUAUGUUUAGAUAAUUCGGGUUUGGGCUUUCGGGUUUCAGGUUUGGGGGUUGGGGUUUGGGGUUUCGGGUAUGAGGUUUCGGGUUUCGGGUUUCGGGGUUGGGGUUUCGGGUUUCGGGUUUGGUUAAUUCCACGUAGGAUGAAAUCGUCGUAAAUACCACGUAAGCAUAAAUCGUCGUAAAGACCACGUAACCAGAAAUCGUCGUAAAGACCACGUAAAAAGAUUUAAACAUAAAACACGUUAAUUCCACGUAAGCAUAAAUCGUCGUAAAUACCUCGUAGUGUAAAAACUAGAAAAAAGGGAAAAGGAUCAAAAUACCAGAAUAACAUGUGGCAAGACUUCCAGCAAUUAUAAUACGUAAGUCUCGCCCACAUGAAUUCUAAUAUCUUAUCCUUUUCCUAUUUUUUUCAAAUAUUUAUAAUUUGAAUAUGAUUUUGCUGAGGAAUGUGAUUUCAGAUAGGUGUGUGAUUUGGGAGUUUAUGUGUGGUUUGAGAAUGAGAGUUGUGGGUAUAUUUAUAGGAAAGCAAGCCUCGUUAAUUCCACGUAGGCAAAAUCGUCGUUAAUACCUCGUAAACAAAAACACGGGCCUUUGUGAUUCCUCGCAAUUUCCUCGAAAAAAAAACACGGGCCUAUGUAACUGCUCGCUAUUUUGUCGUAAACUUACGACGAAUUUGCGACGAUAUGUAAUCUUAUAUAUACACCCGACCGCUCACUCUUUCUUUCCUCUCUACUUCCUCUCUACUUCCUCUCCAUUUCGUAGCAAUGGUAAGCCUCUCUGAUUCCUCUCUAAUUUGGUUAGUUUAGGAUAGAUUAGGUGGUUAGUAUAGGGAAUUUAGAUAGGUUUGCGGAUUUUAUGUUAUUUAGUGUUGAUUAGGUGGAUAAUGUUGGGAAAUAUAUUGUUGAUGUUAAUUUUAAAAAUUUCAUUUUUUUUCCAGGUUCGAAAAGGAAGACUUACUGCCCAUUACAGAGAGAUCUUCGGUGAGCCGGGUAGUCGUUUAGACCCGGCCUCUUCUUCCGCUCCCAGUUCUUCGGGCCAGGAGACUGUCCCCGAGACUCAGUACACUCAGAGAGUCUCUGGGUCUACUUCUUCUAGUGCACCAUCGGCUCCUCAUGUGCCUCCUCCGAUGCCUCCUCCUGUGCCUCCUCCGAUGGCACCUCCGAUGGCCGCCGAUAUUCAUCCUGAUCUGAUGGUGCCUCCGAGUGCUCCUUACUCGCAGUACACUGUAGAGGACAUUCUCAGUCUGCCAGGCAGAGAAGGUUUACCAGUCAUCGACCCAGACCGACCGGACGGAACUUUGUGGUAUGUUGCAUUAAUUUUUUUUUAAUUCGUUUAAAUUUCUUUUAUAACAUUAAAAAAUAAUUUAUAUUUUAAAUUUGUAUUUUCCAGGUGGGGGGUUGACGGAUGUCUUGCAUCGGACGUAACCGACACGAUCAAGGGUUACUUCUCCAUGGCACAUCCAAACUGGAGUAAGACGCCUCACUACGUCAGAAAGACGUGGUUCAAAAUUUACGCUGUAAGUUUCUAUUAAUUAAUUAUAUAUACUUUAAUUUUUUCAUGAUUUAUAUAUAUACUUUCUAAAAAACUAAUUGUUAAUUUAUUUUUUCCAACAGCAAAAAUAUAAUUGGGCCUUGGGGAUCACUGAGAGGGUGAGGAAGAAGUUUAACGCGAAGGCGAAAGUUCGCUUGUUGGACACGGUCUCCAACUGGAAGGGUGACUGGAUCGUGAAGGGGUAUGAGCGUGGCAAACCCGCUGAGCUCACCACGGAUGUGUGGGAUGGCCUCAUCCGUUAUUGGCGCCUUCCUGAUUCCAUUAGAAUCGCCCAGGCUUGCUCUAACUCCCGUAACACGGUCGAUGAGCACGGGAACGGGCCGAUGCUUCACACUACGGGCCAAAAACCCCACGCCGGUGUCCGUUUGGAAAUGGUAAUUAAAUAUUUUAUUAAAUAAUUUUUUUAAUACAUAUAUUAAUUUAUUCUAACUUUCUUAACUGUUUUUUAGGCCAAAGAGACGGGACAUCUCCCGUCUCUUAUGGAACUUUACGAGAGGACCCACAAGAACAAGGCGGGCGUAUUUGUAGAUGGCAAGUCCGAGCAAAUCUACAACGACGUAGUUGCUCGGGUUGAAGACCGCCAGACUCAGCUGACCCAGCAGUCUACCGACGGAUUACCCGUCACCUUAUCCACACUUGAAGUGGAUAAGAUUUACGAGGAGGUAAAUUUUCAAAAAAAUUAAUUUUUAAUUAUUCAUUUAAUUUAACUUUAAAUUUUUACUUACAAUAUUUAUUUUUUGUUUUUAAGGUUGUCCCUAAAAAAAAGGGACGGACGUUGGGUAUUGGUUCCGUCAACGAUGUUCCGAGAGCGACAUCGUCUUAUGGUCAGCGACGGGAUGAUGAAGUCACUGAGCUGCGUAGAGAGUCCGCUCAGCUGCGUAACGAGUUGACCGCGACAAAAUCUCGUAUGGGUGGAGUCGAGGGCUUCUUGGACGUUAUUGCGGCCACAAAUCCGGAAUGGGAGUCCAUGUUGAGGAACAUGCGACAACAACAUCCCAUUCAAGGCGAGUCAUCCGACGUACAUAACGAGGCGGAUGUUACGAGGAGGAGUGAUGAAUUCUACCGGGCGAUGAACGACCCUUAGUUUUUUUUUUUUGGUUGUUGUAUUAUAUAAAUUCAAAACUUAUUUAUAUAUAAAAUAUUUUCAUAUUGAUUUAUUUUUAUUUUGAAUUUUAAUUUAUUAUUAAAUUAAAUAAUUUUAAUUAUUUUUUAAUUAUAUUUUUAAAUUCUGUAAAAUAAUAAAAACGAAGUAAAUUCGUAGCCAAUGUACGACCUCUUUACGUGGAAACCUUACGAGGAAAUGACGAGAUACAUUUAACGAGCAUUUUACGAGGAAUCAUUUACGAGGAAAUAACGAGGAAAAGUUUACGACCAUUUUACGAGGAAAUCAUUUCGUGGUUGUUACGUGUAUUUUGCGAAGAAACUCUUUCAAGAUAUUUACGUUUAGGUUACGAGGAACUAUUUUCGAGGUAUUUACGAGGAAUUAUAGCGACGUCCUUACGUGGAAUAUUGACGUGGUCUUUACGACGAAUCGUCCUACUUCGUCUUUACGACGAAAUAUAUUCCUUGCUAAGUUACGACGAAUUAGCGAGGAAAUAUGUGUUACGACAGACGUAUGACGAGCAAACGCAUUUCCUCGCUAAUUCGUCGUAAAGCCUCUUUUACGACGAAUUAGCGAGGAAAACCGUCCUCGUUAAGAUUAUGUUUUCUUGUAGUGAUUCUUCUUCAUGUGUUUUCUUUACGGUUAUCAAUGAUCUCAUUAUAUAAGAGACUCAUCUCCACUUGUAAAGGGCACAGCUUAUUUUGAUUUAUAAUAUUAAAAGCUUUUCAACUCUAAACUCUUGUUUUCGGAUAGAGCUAGACUCUCAACGAUUUCAAGAAGACAAUGUCUACUAGAUAUUCUCAUAAUCAAUAAAUCCCACUACAAAAAAAACUGGAAAUGGCCGCAAAAUAUUUUGUGGCUAUCUAUUGAUUUUUGUAGCUAUUUGACUUCUAGCUACGUAUACCCACAAAUAUAUUUUGCUGACUAUGAACUUGUGGCUAUUUGCAAAACGUUGCUAUCCGUGGCCGUAAUUCUACGACCUAUCCACAAACUAUAUUUGUAGCUAAUAUCUACAAAUAACAACAAACCAUAUUUGUAGCUAUUAUAACCACAACUAGAUCCGAGUCCGCGCUACGCGCGGAUUUUGUGGUUAUAUAAUUUUCUUUUAAGAUUUAGUAUAAAUAUAUGAUAUCGUUUGACAAUUUUGUUCGAAAAAACCUACAGAAUAUGAGCUUAGAAUGUAUCUGAUUUUGUUGUCUUCUUUAUUAAUGGUUAGAGUUAAGCAUUUUAAAUUUAAUUGGAAAGAGUAAGAAAUAAACCAUACAUAAUCUGAGGGUUUUAUGGUUUUAUUUGGAUAAUUAGUAAAACAAAAAUAAUAAGAAAGCAUGUUAGCAGUGUAACUUUAAGAAGUAACAUUCAUUAUGAGAUGAAAUAAUGUUAUAGAAAUCUUGAAACCAUUGAGCUUAAUACUACACCCAACGAUCGAGCAUCUUGUUUGUUUUUUUAAGUUGAAGGUAAUACAUCCGAAAGUAUGUCCGUUUGUUCUAGUAGACAGUCGUAAUAGAAAGUGCCUAGAUCCGAGUCCGCGCUACGCGCGGAUUUUGUGGUUAUAUAAUUUUCUUUUAAGAUUUAGUAUAAAUAUAUGAUAUCGUUUGACAAUUUUGUUCGAAAAAACCUACAGAAUAUGAGCUUAGAAUGUAUCUGAUUUUGUUGUCUUCUUUAUUAAUGGUUAGAGUUAAGCAUUUUAAAUUUAAUUGGAAAGAGUAAGAAAUAAACCAUACAUAAUCUGAGGGUUUUAUGGUUUUAUUUGGAUAAUUAGUAAAACAAAAAUAAUAAGAAAGCAUGUUAGCAGUGUAACUUUAAGAAGUAACAUUCAUUAUGAGAUGAAAUAAUGUUAUAGAAAUCUUGAAACCAUUGAGCUUAAUACUACACCCAACGAUCGAGCAUCUUGUUUGUUUUUUUAAGUUGAAGGUAAUACAUCCGAAAGUAUGUCCGUUUGUUCUAGUAGACAGUCGUAAUAGAAAGUGCACUUCUUUCUUUCUUUGGGGCUGAUUGAUAUAUCAUUGGAGGAUGUGCGGUGCAAAUUAAGAACGAAAUGAGCUAUACUCAGUUUUGUUGAGAGAGAAACAUUGCAUAAUUACUUAAGGCAAACAUUGAAAGUACGUGACAGGUUCUCAAUAAGUAUACGAAAUGUUGACUCAUUUUAUAUGCAGCCACUUGGAUAAUGUUUUAGAAGGUUAAUUAAAAAGUGUAGCUUACGUCUUGUGAAGAUAGUUUUGUGUGUUUCUCUCUUAAAAUCAGAAACAUAGGACUGUGCAACCGGAAUAUACUCUGUUGUUCUUCUCCCUCCCCCGGAAGGCCGGAAGUAAAAUCCUCUCUUCUCAGAAGCAACAUAAAACGUAGCAUUCAAAACACCUUUAUUUAUCAGUGUUUUUUUUUGUUUAUCUCUGUCGAGUGUUAAAGAUUAAUUUUCUUACUAUUUUGCUAUGACAAAAAGUAUUGUCGUAAAAAUGUUUAAGAAUUUUAGUGAUCCAAAACAAUUAUAUAUUCCAAAAAUUAAAAUUAAAAUUUUCAAUUAUUAUUAUUUUUAUCUUCGUCAGAUGUUAGUUAUUAAUUUUCUAACUAUUUUGAUAUGAAAAUUUUUUUAUCAUAAAUGUGUUUGGAAUUUUAGUGAUCCAAAACAUUUAUAUAACAUAUAUAAAAAUAAACAACUAAUAACAUAGUUUUAUUUGUCCAUUAUACUUAAACCUCUUAAACCGAUAAAUAAACUGUUAUAGUUUAAUACUUUGAUUUGUUUUUCAAAAAUAUUCAAUAGCUAUAUUAUUAACUACUGUGUUUAUUCUGGUCAUCAAACAAAAUACUAUAUUUUCUUAUUCCUCUGCCUCUUUUUUUUUGUAACACAGACCUCUGUCUCUUUAAGCCAAUUCAAAAAUGGUCCGUAAGAUAAAUAACCAAGAUAAGUGGAUCAGUGAAUUAAACAUAUGAUAAUCAACCAAAACUUUAACCAAAAACAAAAAAAAAAUAUAGUCAACCCAAAAGAUAUACAGAUUCUUAUAAACCUUUUGUACAAAAAUGUCUAACUCACACAGAAGUGUAUCUUCUUCAGGGGACCAACCUCUUCUCCUCAUCUCAUUGAGAAAUAAUGCAUACCAUGAAACACAAAGAAACAAUGGAGGAACCUUAGUAACUGAAUAUCAAUCGAUUCAGACCUGUUAUCCGAAAUAUCAUCUGUAAUAAGAAGAGAUCAUCACCACUUAAGAAGAUAAAUACAGAAAGACGCUUAAAUUACAAUAAUUUCAGAUGCUUAGAAAGUGAUGUAUACUAUAUAUAUGGAAUAGCAGCCCAUCCUUCUUUUUAAGACACGUAUGAGAACCUCUCCAUCCCAUCGCCACCAGUCUCUGCGUUUGAUUCUCCAUCUUCGUCUCCAAAUCCAACAGAUACACGAACAAAACGAUCUACCACUGAUUGAUACUGUGGGAAAGUCUAUUCGGCUAUCAGCCCUUCAAAAGGUGAUCCAGGCUUCGUUGCUUUGGACCGAGUUUGAGGCCGCGUAGCUGGUGGUUCUCUCACAUGUGGCCCAUGAGUAGCGCAAGAAGAAAAUUGAAACCAUAAUUUCAUUCCUCAAAAAUCAAAAAAUAAAGCUGUAUAAAUUUAGCUGCACCCGAGGAACAAUGGCUUAAUGGAAAUCAGAGGCCAUGAAGAUUAGGGUUGUGAAGAUUCUAUAUGUAUUGAACCUAGACACUGUUAUAUAGCGAGGUUGUGGAGAGUAGGAAAGAUAGAGAGGUGUCGAUAAACCGGCGAAGAUUUGUUGUUGGAGAGGGAGAAGAAGUGUAAGAAAAAGAAAGAGAGAUUGGAUUGGUGACAUGGCAGUUUAAUUUGGUUCUGGAUAUUUUUGCUGAUGUGUCAUGCGUAGAAAUACUUCGAUUUAGUUCCUUUUAUAUAGGUAGCCACGUAUAUAAUUGUAGCAUUCUUAAAAUUUAAUUAAUUUUUUUUUUGUUUAAUCAAUUAACAAAAAAAAAAACAAUACCAGAAAGUAAAUGAAAUUAUUUUAUUUAUAAUAAUACGUUUCAAAAUGGUUUACAAAUUAAAAUGGUUUAUAAAUAAUAAACUGGUUAACCAAACCAAAAGGCUAAACCUAACGAACAAGAAAACCAAAGCAAACCGGUUGACCGUGUCUCUUUGCUCCUGGUGUCUGUUGGUCAUCGCAAGCUUGACUGUAGGCAUCGAGUUGUCUUUGUAACACAGAUCGAUCACCUUCAAGACUUAUUUCUUCUGCGUCGUUGCUUUCAAUCAGAAACAAGUCUGGCCCCUCCUACGGUAGCUCUGUAAAUCGGAACCGCAUAAAUAAUCAGAAACUAAUCAGUAGCCUAAAGAUUACAUGCAGAGCGGAGAGUAUACUAACUUUUAGCAUUACUUUGUGUUUGAACAGAUCCACAAGCUCCUCGGUCAUUAUCUCUACAAUCAUAAUGACAUUGAAAAAAGUACCAAGCUUUAGAGUCAUCGAAAAUAAAAUGAGCAUCAAGUAAUCAAUAACUAGUUAUUGCAAAUUUUGUAGAUAGAUCUUACCAAAUGCAGAGCUAUUCCGAAAAUCAAAUGGUCACGGCCAACCAUUUUUCCUGUAUAGCUUUAACAAGCUCAUCGUAAAGGUCUGAUCCCUCCUAAAAGCAUAUACCCAAAAUAGCAUAAAUAUAAAUAUACAUAUGCAAAAAACAUUAGUACAUGAAAGAAUCACAUUUUGGCUAGAUGCAAGGUUGUCAGACUCAACAUUAGCCACAUAGUUUGCCUCAUAUAGGUUUCAGGGAUCAGUUAGAACUUAGAACCUCAGCUCUCCCAUCCUCUGUUUUGUGCUGCUAUGCUUAAUUCACCGAGAUUAUUUUUAUUUGACCUACUCAAUAUUAAGACACUAUUAUCAAAGGACAAACCUUUCUCUUAACAGAGAGAAACUUUUGUAGUGGAAAAGAAAAACAAAAUAUCAAAACUUCCUCAAAAGCCUAAGGAACUUCACCUUUGAGAAGAAGAUUGCAAAGAUACAGAAAGAGGCUGCGGAAGAAGGGAAACGGCAGAUGUAACUGGCCUCGUCGCUUCAGGAGGAAUCCGAGUUUGACGCCUCCGAUUAGCUAUCUCUGAUUAAUUAAAAGGACGAGUGAAUCGAUAGUAAGGAGGAGAGGAAGAGAGAACAUAUCUUUUUUUUGGGUAGUAAUAUGGGAGAAUGAAUCUCAAUUUAUUUAAAAAAGAAACUCGAGUUUGUCGUGGCCGCAAUGGUCCAGCAACAUUCUCAUGAACUAAAACAGCGACCUCAAUCGGUGCCACAACAAAACUAUGAAAACUAAACGGAAGAGAAAAUGCAAGGUUAGCCAAACCAUCAGCUAAGCGGUUUGCUUCCCUAUACACAUGAACGAAUCGGAUCAGCCAGUCCCUUGUCAAGAAGCCAUGGCACAAGCGUACCAGGAAAGACAGCGGAUGAGUAUCCCCAAUCCCUAUCGUAAGAAACUCCAUCACCAUCAUAGAAUCGACCUCUACCUCCAGCUUUCUCACCCCUUUCUCCCAAGCAACCACUAAACCAUAGUACACACCCCAUAACUCCGCUAAUGGUGCCGUACAACUACCUAUAUUAAUCGCAAAACCACCACACCACUCGCCUUCUCCGUUUCGCAGUGCUCCCCCUGCAGACGCCGGCCCCGGGUUCCCAUGUGAUGCCCCGUCCGUGUUCUGUUUCAUCCACCCCACACAAAGUGGCUUCCAUCCCACCAUUAUCUCAACCAUAUGUCUCUCCUUAAUGUGAGCAAUAUCUGCUCUAUUCGCUGCUAUAACUCCCUUAGCCAAGUCACUUAAGAACUUGACUCUAUCUCUCCACAGUCGGGUAUCACCAAAUACAUUUCCACAUCUCCACUUCCAUCCCCACCACAGAGUUAAAGCGAAUAUAAUAGCCCACAGAAUACCACCACCUGCAUUGUUGUCACAUAGGUUCUUAUAUAACCAUUCCAGUAACUGCAUUCUGAAGAAAGCAUCCCUUCUUGUUCUCGGAACAAAUCUCUCCCAUAUACCUUUUAUCGCAGGAAAAUCACGUAACACAUGUAUUAUAGUCUCAAUUCCUCCUCUGCAGACCUAGCAUAAGUCAAUCCCACUCAGGUGCCUUCUACGUCUCUCUGCAUUCGUCAUGAUUGCUUGAUUUGCCACUAGCCAGAGGAACAUUCGAACUCUCUCAGGUGCUACAACGCGCCACAUAGAUCGAAAGAAACUCCCCAUCUGCGGUCUUGGAUUCUCAUCUCUUGUAAGCAAGGCGUAUGCAGACUUCACCGUAAACUGCCCAUUCGGAGUCUGCCCCCAUGCCAAACAGUCCUUUGCUCCAGUAACAAUAUCCACUACUACUGCCAUAAGCUCUAGUCUUCUCUCAGCUGUUACCAACGGGGUAAUUCUAUCAAAAUCCCAACCUCCACCUUCCCCCCACAUAUCUCUAACUGUUAUAUCUUCAUAUCCUUCUGGAAGCCCUGCAAUCACUUCAGUCAUGAGUGGUUGGCCUGCUAUCCAACUAUCCGUCCAGAACCAGAUAUUUCUCCCAUUACCAGUGACCCAGCUAUGGCCCAUAAGAACCACUUCUCUUAUCCCCAUUACCACACUUUUCCAUGUUGACGAGCUAGAGAUACUCCUUACCAUCCAAUUUGUGUCAUGUAUGUCCCCACACCGUACUUACUUCGUAAAACUUUGGCCCAUAAGCUCUCAGUAUCGUGUAACAGACGCCAUCCCACUUUCGCUAACAAGGCUUUGUUCAUAUCUCUCGACACCCUGAUCCCCAAACCUCCGGCCGCCUUCGGUUUGCAUAUUUUAUCCCAGGAGACUAAGUGUUGUCCACUUCCCCACACCAAGCUCCUCGCUAGACUAUCAAGCUUCUCCAGUAUAGCCACUGGCAUGCUAAUCGUACUCAUCAUAUGCACCGGGAUUGAUGACAGAACCGACUUUGUCAAUGUUAUCCUUCCUGCAAGGCUUAAUGUUUGUUUCUUCCAUCCUGCUAGCCGUGAAGCUACUUUCUCCGGUACCUCCCCAAAAGUAUCUUUAUUAAUUCUUUUUUGUAGUAUUGGCAUCCCCAAGUAUUUUCCUAGCUCCUUUGUUGAUGCAAUACCAUUUUCUCUGCUUAUUCUCUCUUCUCUUCCUCUAGAGACAUUAUUAGAAAAGAAAAUCUUCGAUUUCUGGAGGCUUACUUUCUGACCAGAGGCUUUACAACAAUGUUAUCCGCACUCAAUCUACCCGGGAUGAAACUAGACUGAGCAGGACCAAUCAGUUUAGGCAUAAUACUCUUCAGUCUCCCUACCAUGGCCUUCGUGAUAGUUUUAAACAACACGUUGCAGAGACUUAUCUGUCGAAACUGAGUAAUAUACUCAGGUUUCGUCACUUUCGGAACUAUCACCACGAGUGCAUCAUUAGUAUUCUCCGGCAACUUCCCCGUCUCAAAGAAAAAAAGGACAAACCUGAUCACAGAUGCACCAACUGUCUCCCAGCACCUCUAAUAGAAAACUGGUUGAAACCCAUCUGGACCUGGUCCCUUGAAGCUGCCCAUAGCUCUCACCGCUUUCUCUACUUCCUCCGCAGAAAACGUUUUGUCAAGAUCCAUUUUCUCUUGUCUUGUAAGCCCCACAAAUCUCCUCUCCAAUAGCAUUUGUAUGUCUGUAUCCAUGUUUUCCAGAGAAUAUAGUUUUCUGAAAUAAUCCACCGCUAGCUUCUCAAGUUCUUUUGCAUCUGAUACCCACUAAGUUUCAUCUUUCUUUAGCAUCUCCACUCGAUUUCCCUUUCUCCUAAUGAUUGUCGACAUAUGAAAGAACUUGGUAUUUCUAUCUCCAUGCACACACCACUUCUCCCGCGACUUUUGGAACCAGAGCACUUCUUCUUGCUCGAGGACAAUCUCAAGUUAUUUUAAUAGCCCUCCGUCCUUUACCAAGAUCUCAUCAGAGGGGUCUUGCUCAAUUUUUUUCCUGUAUCUCUGUAAUCUCCAUCAACAAGUCCUCUUUCCUUCUUUGGACAUUUUCGAAAACUUCUCUGUUCCACUUUCGGAGUGUCAUUUCCAACCUCUGCAAAGCCUCUCUUGUAUCAAUAUCACGAUCCCAUGAAGCUGUUAGCAAGUCUUGAAACUCAUUAUGUUGUAGCCAUGCCGCCUCAAAACGAAAUGGACGUCGACGUGCAUCACCCUUAACCUCCGGUGUGAGCUGUAGAUACAAAGGAGCGUGGUCUGAUGCUAAGAAAGGUAAAUGCCUCACACUUGCCUCCUGCCACCUGAGUCUAGAUUGGGCACAGCAUAAUAUUCUAUCCAGCCUCUUCGCUACAAAUGUGCUUUCAGUUUUCCCUCUUUUCCAUGUGAAUUGUUUGCCAUGAAAUCCCAUAUCAAUCAGUGACAUAUCAUUUAUCCAAUCACCAAACUUUAGAAAAUCCUCAGACAAUCUCUCAUUCCCACUACUCCUUUCAUCUAUCCAAGAGAGAAGAUAUCUUAGCGAACAAGGUGGAAGAAAUAAGAAUUAGGUUUAGUAUUUUUUUAAUGAUAAAUUAUGUGACUGCGAAUUAAGCCGCGUGUUUGUAAUUUUUUUUAUCAAGGAUGGGAAACACUUAGCCAGGAAAAUAACCCGGGAACUCGAAUUAUGUGGUUACUUUCUAAAUUUUGCAAAUCCAUAAAUUUAUAGUUGUGUCGUUCAUAUAUUGAAAAUAUAUUAUUAAAUAGACUAUGGUAAAACUAUACAAAUUGUCGUAAAAGUAAUGAAAAAAUUUAUCUUUAUUCAUAACAUAGAGGUUCCUUAUAUAGAAGAUUACACCGUCAUAGAUAAAUGGAAAGAUUACAAAUCAUAAUCUCUAGGUUAUGAGCUAUCCACAAUAUGGUUCAUAACACUCCCCCUUGGAUGCCAUAACCAUUUAGAGCUUGUAAUGUGCUUUAAUGUUGCCUCAUUAAAACUUUACCAGGAAAACCCAAUUGGGACAAAACCAUGGUGAAUAAAAAAGAGUACAACACACAUUACUCCCCAUUAUUUGGACAUUAGUGAAGGUCCCUUGGACCUCUCCAAUUUUCUGCAAUCUGUGGGUGAUGAAGAUCUUGGGCAGAAUAUGCUUCGUCCUCGAACAUGAUAGUUGGUUCUUCUUUACCAUCGGUCAUGCCACAAUCUGAUCAAACAUAUUGAGUCAUCGACCUCAAAUACACACACACGAAAUCUUGGAUGAUGUUGCUGUGAUAUGCGUGUAGCACCAUGUGUAAAACAUAACCUGUCUGAAAACAAAUCACCAAAACCAAAUAACUCCUCUUUGGACUGGUUAGUAUAAAAUAAACCAAAAUCAAAGGAUUCUUCAUCGUCUUUCUUAUGGACCAAUCAGAUCAGUGUCUAAAACAAGACUUCUGUAUCGUCCAUCUCAGGAUUAAAUGGAUUUCUUUAUCGUCCACCUUUGGACUGAAUGGAUCAGUGUCCAAAACAAGUGAUCUUACUCCCAUGUACUAGAUAAUGGGUGAGACUGGUCCAUAUUAAUUCUCUUGAGUACCCUUUUCUGUAUAUACUAUUUGAUGCACAAGGAUUUCAUUGUUAAUGUACUCAACCUGUAAUCCCAAACAAAACUUUGUUUUCCAAGAUCUUUCAUCUCAAACUCUUUCUUGAGAUAUUCAACUGUUUGAGAAAUUGUAUCCAGAGGUUCCUAGGAUAUUCAAAUCAUAUACUUUGAUGAUUAUCAAUAUUGUUCUUGAGAACUUGCUGUACUUUCAGCUCAAUACCCUCUAGUACUUUCAUUAUCCAGUGGACCAUAUAAAUAUGCAGUCACUACAUCAACUUGCUGCAAGUCUAAUUUUCUCUCUUAUAUAGCCAGACUUAUGAGAAAUCUAAAAGUAGUUGCAUCCACCACAUGGGAGUAUGUCUCCUCAUAAUCUAUUACUGGUCUUUGUGAGAAUCCUUGUGCAACAUCAGCUUUAUAUCUCACGAUUUCUAUUCCUCACAAGACCCAUUUAUAUCCACUGGUUUUAACAUCAUAUGGCGUCUUAAUCAUAUGGCCAAAUACGCCUUUCUUCUUUAAACUAUUUAACCCCACGUUUCCAUUCAAUCCAAUCUGUUCUACGAGUGCGCACUCUUAUACUGACGUGGGUUCAUGAUCCUCGCUUAUAUUCAUAAAUUCAAGUGCUACCUUGUAUGCAAAUAAAUCAUCUUAUGUCGACAUUCCUUAUUGGUUCCAUUAUGUUCCAGACAUGAUAUAAUCGAUUGAGAUUCAUUAUUAUCAGGACCUUUAAUACUUUGCAGCUUGGCGUCCCAAGCUACAUUGUUUGGUACCUGUACCUUAGAGCCGGCCGGCCUUAUCUCCAUGUCUGGGAUGGUUUCCUUAGUAACCUCGGAUUUGGAUUUUGAUUAUCAUUCUCUGCACCUUUCUUUUGUUUUCGAGGAUUCUUAUCUUUUGGAACCUAUUGGUCUACCACGUUUCAUACGUUGUCUAGACUCUGUAGCAACUUGACUGUGUCUCUUCUUGGACAUCAAAUUCGUUGGUGCUUUACAAGCUGGUUUAUAUAUGACUUAGUCAUUUUUUUCGGGUCAGCAAAUGUGUCUGGCAUUUGAUUAGCUAGCUUUGUAAAUGUAUAAUCUUUGGACGUCUAUUUCACAUUCUUUAGUCCGAGGAACUUGCCAAGAUAUUGAUAGUUGAUUCCAUUCUAUUUCUUUUACAAUUCUUUUACCAGCUUUAUUAUUUUUUCUCCUCUUGGUCUUAAAAUAAUCUGUGUACCUGGCCUCAAAUAUAAUCACCUAUAAUUGGCUCAAAGUACUUUAUUAUUGUGGGAGAAUCAUAUCCAACAUAUAUCUCCAUCCUUCUUUUGAGGUCCCAUCUUAGUUCUCUGUGGUGGAACAAUUAGUACAUAGACAGCACAUCUAAAUGUCUUAUGAUGGGGUAUGUCUGGCUCUUGACCCGUUAAUAAUUGUGAUAGGGGAUAUCUAUGCUCACUAAAUGGCCUGAUGCGUAUUAACUUAGAUGCAUGUAAAUUUCGUGUGGCCCAAGCUGUGAAUGGGAGUUUUGACCUCAUAAGUUAUGGUCUAUCAAUCAGCUAUUUGCGUUUUAAAAGAUUUCGGCCAAGCCGUUCUUGGUAUGGACAUGUAUCACAGAAUUGUCCACACUUACCCCCAUGGACAUACCAUAAUCAUUUAAACGCUUGGGACAUGUAUUCACCAGUAUUAUCUAGACAUAUAGUCUUUAUUUAUGAAAAAGGGGCUCGUAGCCGUUUUACUGGUGAUGGCCUAAUGAGUUUUCCUUGUGUACAUGCUACACACGUGAGAUUCUUUGGGAUAACUCUUCUUAUCUUUUAAUGUGUGCCUUUUGAAUAUCAAUUUUUGCAUCAUGUUUGGACCAGGAUGGUCAAUCCGGUCGUGCCAUAAAGUGUAUAUUUUCGCAGAUUUUUAGCCUCUAUCAUACUGAUCUAUGCAUAGUCUAGGUCAGUUGAGAAUGCAUGUAUAGUCUUUAGGACUUAUUAUGACAUGUUUUCUUCUCCCAUUGUUUCAAUAUGGAAACCAUUCAUUCUUAUAUUUUUAAAACUCAAUAGGCUGCUCUUGCUCUUAGAGCUGGGUGAAUAUAAGGCAUCACUGAUUUCUAGAUGCAUACCCUUAGGCAAUAAUAUAUUAGCCUAGCCAUAGUCUUCUUUCAGACUGGCGAUACCUGCUUUAGUACUUAUAUUGGCGUUUUUCAGUGUACUCAUAUAGAAAAAUCAUUCAUUCAUUUAAUCUAAGCAGACAAUGUAAUAGAAAUAAAUUCAAGGAGAUAAAAAUCAGAGAAAGCAUACAAGCAAAGCAAUCACACAAGUUUGAUGUCGAAAUCAGAUUAUCAACUUGAUUCUUUUAGGCAAUCAUAAGUCUCAUAUUCCAUAAGAUCAUCUUGAUCAUGUUCGAAAUUAUUUUCACCAUCUUUAUAGACCAAGUGGAUUUCACGAUUCUUCCCUUUUAGACUCUCUUUGAUAGAUGUCACAAAAAUGUUUGGGAGUCCUUCAUAUCUUAGCCCAAUGGUUCCUCAUUCCACAUCUAUGGCACACUGAUUUGGUCGAGUUUUGUGGUUUAAAGGAUAUACCACGGCCACUGCCUUGACCAUGGAUCAAAUUGGGUUGAUACCCACGGCCUCUGCCAUAGUGAUUCCCACGGCCAAAUGUGUUAUAGUGGCCAUGGCCACGUCCUUUCCACCCUCCACGGCCAUGACCGUGUGGUCUAUCAUUCUGGACGUGGUUACCUUUUUUUUUUUUUUUUGCGGCCUUAUUGGUAUCAGGUAAUAGAGUUAAUCCAGGAGGUCUCAUUUCCCUGUUUCUCAUCAGUAAUCCAUUAUUUUGCCCAACUAGCAAUAGACUCAUCCACGGACUUAUAGUCCUGAAUUCUAGGAUUCCUCCAAUCAAAUAGGGCCUUUGGUAAUAACAUCGUUCUUCCACCCUACACGGCUAUGACCGUGUGGUCUAUCAUUCUGGACGUGGUUACCUUUUUUUUUUUCUGUGGCCUUAUUGGUGUCAGGUAAUGGGGUUAAUCCAGGAGGUCUCAAUUCACUGUUUCUCAUCAGUAAUCCAUUAUUUUGUCCAGCUAGUAAUAGACUCAUCCACGGACUUAUAGUCCUGAAUUCUAGGAUUCCUCCAAUCAAAUAGGGCCUUUGGUAAUAACAUCGUUAUUUGGUGAUCAUAUCUCGAUUUUUAACUAUGUCCAAAAGUCUAGGGGAUUCUCUAUAGUCAGAUACUGAUCUUUGGGACUCUUAAUAAGAUGAUGGCUAAUAAUUAAUAUUUGCCCUGUAUCAAUCUUUCUCAUUGGCAUUAUUGACUUCUAUGAUACAUUCACCAAGUCUUUUUGACUUUAGGAUAAUCUUUGUAUCCAAUGCCCACCGUAAAUAAUUAUCUCUAGAGAGAUUUAGGGCAGCAAAAUCCAGGUUGAUUUUUGACAUCUCAAAUCAUAUAUCACUCAAUUCGGAUUUCAAUCUUGUGAGGACAAUGAAACUAUCAAUCUUAAAGGCAUUUAAUCAAUCAGUCAAUUUCUAGCAAGUCUCAGCAAUACUAUUUCUAUGUGCUCAUAAUAUUAUGGUUUAUCAAGACUAGCAAAAACGGAUUCAAUUAAUCAUGCAAUUAGGGUUUAACAAUCAAUGGAUUUUAGCAAGACUAGUAAAAAGAUUUAUUAAUCAUUCAAUCAGUUUCAAGGCUGAUUUUAGCAAUACUAGAAUAUAGAUUUCAAGCAUGAAUUUCAAUGAAUCAGUUUCAAGGCCGAUUGGUAUUUAGCAUAAACUGUGUGUAAAUAAUCUAUCUAGUAUCCGAAUUUAUCAAAUCUUAAAAACAUAUAAUCAGAUCAAUCAAUUUAAUAGAACUCAUAGCAUAAUGAAUUUAGGGUUUCAAGUUUCAGAUAUGCGGAUUAAGGUUAGGACUAGAAUUAGGGUUUCAUGAUUUCUAAUCAGAUCAAUCAAUAAAAUCGAACUUAGCAUACAAUCUUAAACCUCAAGACAUUAGAUUUUAUCAUGAAUCUAUUAACCUAGCAUACAGAUUCUCGAUUCUCAACGACAUCCAAAUCAGAUCAAUAUAACCUAUCAUACGGAUUAUUUAGGGUUUUCAUUUAAAACAGAUCAGAUUACAAAACUAUCAAUUCUAGCAGAUGAUAUUAAACCUCAAGAAUCAUGCAAUCAGAUCAUUCGGAUUUUAAACAAGUAAACCUCAAUCAAUCUAUCAACCUAUCGGAACCAAGCUAGCAACCUAUCGGAUUCAAUCAAUGUUUUAACAGGCUGGUCGGUUUAAACAAUUUUAAAUCAGAUGAACAAUUAACCAAGCAGGAUGAGAAAAUAAAUCUGUCAAUCUUAACUGUGAUUAAAGCAUUAAUAAAAACAAGGAGGUCGGAUUUAAUCAAGACUUAAACAUAUCAGAAUUAUUAAACUAGCAAAAUGAGAAUAAUAAAUCUAGCAACUUAACGGUCAAACAAUUCUAGCAACAUAGCAUCAGAUUCAAUCAGAUUUAAAACCUCAAUGAUCAAAGCCGAAAACAUUUUUGAUUUCAAAAUAUUCGAUUAGGGUUUUAAUAUGUGAUUUGAUAAUUAUAGUAUAAUUAAUUCUGAUACUUAUAUUAUUUAGGGUUUAUAGAUAUAGGGUUAGGGUUUAUCGGAUUUUAACUUGUAAAAACCGAUUUGGGGUUUUAAUCAUGUAGGAACAUGAUUUAGGGUUUGGGGUAUCGAACUUUUAGAGCUUCGAUUUACUCAAUUAGGAUUUUUGAUCUAUUACCCUAUGGUUUUGAUUCAUAAAGAUUAGGGUUUUAGGGUUUCAUUCUUUAUCAAUCAAUCCAUGUUCGAUUAUGGGUUCUUAGGUUUUAAAUUUCCUUUUAACCUUAGAUGAUUGUUGAAUCGGACCACCAAAGGAGUUGAGCCGCGAGCUGGACACGAACGGGACGCGAGCUGGAAUGGAUUGAGUCGCUUCUAUCGGGUCGCAGACGUCCUUUGUUGCUUGAUCGGGAACGCCUUGAUCGUCGGAUGCGAGCUGUCUGAUGCUGUCGCGAACGAGGAAGAGGUCACGUACUGGAGCUGCUCUCGGGUCGCGAACGUCUGAGCUAGGAUCAUGAACGUUUUAGGCUGAAGCUGAUCGGGGACGCGAGCUGGAACAGAUGCAGGAACAAGAGACGCGAUCGGGGUUUAGGGUUCGUCGGAUCGCUGGCUAAAGUUAGGGUUUUAGGGUUUUUCGAUAUGGGUAUUAGAUUAGGGAUUUAGAGUUUCGUGCUGAUAACAUGUUGUAAAAGUAAUGGAAAAGUCUAUUUUUAUUCAUAACAUAGAGGUUCCUUAUAUAGGAGAUUACACCGUCAUAGAUAAAUGGAAAGAUUACAAAUCAUAAUCUUUUGGUCACAAUCUGGUUCAUAACACAAAUUAUAAUAUACAUCACUAUUUUUAAAGCUAUAGGGUUUGAAAGUAAGGUUGGAGAUAGAGUUUGAAAGUGGGUUUUGGAUUUUAAGGUAAGAGAUUAAAGUUUGAAAAUAUGUUGAAAAUUGAAAUCUUUUAAAAGUGUUAUUUUUUGUGGGUUAUAAAUGUUCAAUUUUGAAAUUUGUUAUAAGUGUUAGAUGUUGGAAUUUAGGGUAUGUUUAAUAAGGGUUUAUAAUUUGGGGUCAAAUAUAUUUUUUUCAAAAAACUUGUUAUUAGUGUUUUUUUUUGGUCAUAUUAGUUGUUUUAUCUUCAGAUUUUUAUUAGAUUAUGGAAAUUUAGGGUUUAGGGUAUGGUCAGGGUUAAAAUUUUCUAUCAAUAACCGCAAAAUACAUUAUGUCUAUGUAUUUCUACUAUUGUUUUAGUGGCUAAUAGUGAAUAUUGAUUUCCACAAAAUCUUUUUGUGGUUAAUUAUGGUUUACUUUCUACCAAUACAAAGCAUAGUUUGUGGCAAUUUAGCCACAAAAAUCUAUAAGAUAGCUACUAAUCCUAGUAUUUAAAAUUUGUUGCUGUUUUUGUGGUUAUUUGUAACUUUUAUAUUAUAGCCACAAAACUUUUGUUGCUAAUUUGUGGCUAUGGACAAUUUUUCUUGUAGUGCGCUACACCAGUCCUGAACAUUAAACCUACUGAGACCUUCAAGGAAAAACCACAUAUGUAACUCUUCCACUUGGUUUCUCCAUCCCUCUUGCAAGAUGCAGAGAACGAGCUGGUACUCCCCUGAAGAUUGAAAAAACAACAUCAUCACUCAACAUAAGCUGAGAAUCAAAUCAAAAUAGAAAUCAGAUCACAUGUAAUACUGAGUCACUUCAUCAACUCUCUUGAAUCACAGCAUUCACAUUACUUUUACUAAAAUCACAAUCAAAUUAGUACAAAGGUAAAACGAACCUGCUAUGCCAAUGAACUUCCUUCUGAACUUUAACAUCGGACUUUUGAGCAUCUGUUGUGCCAAAAAACUGUUUAAAACAACAAUGUCACAGCUAUUGUACAAAUGUAUUUUGAUUCAAAUACUAUUUAAAAUUUAUUUUAAAUAAAAAAUCAUUGUACGAUUUUCUUGGACUUCUUUGUAGCAUUGAACUACUUCACAUAAUCUGACAUGAAUACUCUACUUGGAAAGAUUCAGUUAACAUUUUCGGCCUGCACGAUGUAGGAAUUGUCUACAGCCCUCGACCCAACUUAGACCGUGUAUGCAACAACAAAAUUUUCUAAAAGGGACGGUUAACUAUGUGUAUGUUGAAUUCUUGUUCCAACACCUUAUGCACUUACAUUACAUUCUAAAUCAAAUCAUCCACAAGAAUAGGAAAUCUUCAUAUAUGUAUGCGUAUCUCUAUAUAUUAAUAUUAAAAAUUCAAUACGUUAAAAAAUCUUACAACUACACUUAUAAUGAAACAAAAGUAGUAGAUUUCUAAUUUAAUUGAAUUAUCUUUCAGCAUUUGUUCAUUGGAAUUACUAGGUCAUGUUUGUGUUUGUUAUUUCGCAUAAAAGGUGAUUAAGUUAUUGUAUUUUGAUGUUUUUUAAGUAACAAAAAAAAACAUAUAUCGGUGGUUGAUAAUUUCUUCGAAAUUAUUAGAACAUGUUACAUGCGUCUCUUGUCCACCAUCACGUUACGAAUUCAUGAUUUUGAAUUUCUAAUACACCAAUUCUGGCUAUAGAUAUAUAGGUUGGAUUACUUUGAUCUUUCUUGUUUGAUUCACCCAUAACAUUUUCGUUAAAGCUUGUUGGAUUAAAAUUAGUUUGGCCAUGUAGAAUCCGAAUGUAUAGAACUCAAACAAACUUAAUAAGAAUUUGCUCUCUUAUUAAUCUCUCAAUGCUUUAGAAAAUCACUCAAAACUAAAGCUCUCACACAAUCACAAAACUCUCUUAUUUUAUGCCACACUUUGACAUCUCCAUAUAUAAGCAUAUAAAGUCCUAAACUCACUAGACAUAUGGUAUUUAGAUAACUCCUAAGUAUCUAGGACUUUCCUAUUUCCUAAUUUCAUAUCUCGGUAGGAAAUAGAUAACUUAUUUCUCAAGUUAUCCAAGCUUAAACCAACAUUCUCCCCCUUAAGCUUGAAGUCGGUUUUCAACACAUCUUUUACUCCUAGGAGCUCUCUCAUUUCUUUAAACUUUGUUCUUGCCAGAGGCUUGGUUAGUAUGUCAGCUCUUUUCAAGACUCCGGCUACAUGAUGAACUUCGAUCAACCCAUUGUCGACACAUUCUCGAAUAAAGUGAUAGCAACGAUGAAUAUGUUUGUUGCGACCGUGAAACACAUGGUUCUUUGUCAAAGCUAUGGCCGAUUUAUUGUCAAUCACGAUUGACACCUUCUUGCUCUCGAUCCCUGUUAUCUCCUCCAAAAGAUCUUGAAGCCAAAUAGCUUGCUUAGCUGCAUCAUUCCGCCAUGAACUCGGCUUCGCAAGAGGAUAACGCCACUGUCUCUUGUUUAUGUGAACUCCAUGUGAUUGGACUGUUUGCAAAGUAGAAAACGUUCCCUGAUGUGCUUCUACCAUCAUCCUCAUCUAUAUUAUGAGAGUUGUCACUGUAUCCUUCCACUUUCGCAUUACUUGAUCGACAGAAACUAAGACCAUAUGAUAACGUUCCUUGCAAGUACCGCAACAUAACCUUCAAAGCUGCUUCAUGAGAUACCUUCGGUGUUUGCAUGUAUCUACUGAUUUGUCUCCAAACCGUACCUUUCCUGUGAUUGACUCGUUCAGGGUCUUGAAAUAGCUUCGACUUCCAGUCAUGUGAUUACUUGCACCAUUAUCUAAGUACCAAACAUUUUCAUUGUUUGUCUCAAACUCUCGGGGGUUGACAUUCUUCUCAUUCAAGUACACAACCUCAUGCAUCAUGAGCUGUUCCACCUCUAUCGUCUCGGCCUCCUUCUCCUUAGCCUCUAUGGUUUCUUGUAGCUUAAGCAAGCGAUCCGGACAAGUGGAUGCAUAAUGACCGUUUUUGUCGCAGCGGAAACACGUGAUCUUUGACAGAUCAAUUUCACCAUAGUAUCGAUCAUUGUAUCGUCCCAUCCCUCUGCCUCUGUUAUAAUACCUUCCUCCACGUCCCCUACCACGAUAUUUUCCAUUGGAGUCGUGAUUCAAAGAAGCAGAGUGAGAAUCCAAAUUCGCAUACAUAAGCUUUUGAGUAUCUUGUGUUUAUUCUUCUUCAUCCAUAGCAACACGUUCUUCAUAUGCCUUCAGACGUCCGAUAAUAUCCUCAAAGGUUGUAGUCUUUUAGAUCAAGAACUUGUUCCAACGAGGCCACGAUAUGUAUAUAUUUUCUUCGAGGAAGACUUGAGAGAAACUUUUUGACCAGUUUUCUUCAAUGGUUUCCCCUAGAGAAUUUCAGAUAAUUUUCCCACAAAAUCAUCAAUCUUAUCAUCAUCCUUCAUUCUCAAUCUGUCAAACUCCGACAUAAGAGUUUGUAAGCGAGCCUCUCGAACCCUAUCUGCCCCCAUGUGUCUUGAUUUUAUUGCUUCCCAAAUCUUCUUUGCAGUUUCUAAUUCUCCUAUCUGCAAGAUAAGUGUCUCAGGUAUAGAUUGGAAUAGCAAUGCAAUCGCGACAUUGUUCUUUUCUCAAUCGGUGGAUUCUUCUUCGACAACCUCCCAUACUUUAUGCACCUUAAGUAUGAUCUUUACCCUUAUUAACCACACAAUAUAGUUGGUUGAGUUUAACAUAGGACAGCUGAUAGAAGAUGAUUUCCCCUCCUUGGCCUUUAACGAGAACAUUAUUAUAUCUCUCAUUGUUUCUUUGCCUUGCUUCAAACGGAUCGAAUCCUAGAAGCUCUGAUACCACGUGUAAAAUCCGAAUGUAUAGAACUCAAACAAACUUAAUAAGAAUUUGCUCUCUUAUUAAUCUCUCAAUGCUUUAGAAAAUCAUUCAAAAAUAAAGCUCUCACACAAUCACAAAACUCUCUUAUGUUAUGCCACACUUUGACAUCUCCAUAUAUAAGCAUAUAAAGUCAUAAACUCACUAGACAUAUGAUAUUUAGAUAACUCCUAAAUAUCUAGGACUUUCCUAUUUUCUAAUUUCAUAUCUUGGUAGGAAAUAGAUAACUUAUUUCAAGUCAUUCCAAGCUUAAACCAACAGGCCAUACCCUAAAACAUGGUUGGUCCUUGGUCCCCCUCACAAAGAGUUACAAAAAUUUAAAGAGAAGUAAGAGAUGGAUUGAUGGUUGCGGAAAUCUAAUAAUAACAACAACAGAUGGUGUUCUUAUUUAAUGGUUUUCCUUCAUUGUCUUAUCAAACCCAAUCUUCAAACUUCUCUUUUCAUUCCUCCACCAAUGCCCCUAUUCUAUUUUGUUGCAUGAUGUUUUCUUAUAUGGAAUAUAAGAAAGUAUAUAUGUAUCCUAGUGGUUUUAUUGGGUCUUGGAUUAUUGAGGUAGAGAUAGAUGAUCAAUUUUCAUUGGAUAUAUUAUUUAACUAUGUUUAUUUAUGAUUUUUAAACCAAUAUUGCAAUACAAAAAUGAUGUGGUAUAAGAUUUAUAUUAUAUUGUCAUGAUAAAUAAGUAAAAAAAAAAAUGCAAUGCAUAUUUUUUUUUUGUUAUCAAACUCUAAAGUAAUUACUCAUCAUACUUGUACUGCUUAUACAAACUUGUACAAUAACAUAUAUUUUAGACUCGUAUACUAGUAAUUUCAAAAUGGAUCAAAAUGGACCGUAGAUUAGAUCGAAUCUUAUCUAUAUUUUAGAACAAAGUUUCUGGCGUAGUUUAGGUUUUGGUACCAUACACGUUGCUAAGAAAAGUACGAAUUUGGGUGUUGGAUUUGAUUUUGGAUUAGUACCAAACGAAUAUGAAAAGUUGGUUCGUAUAUGCAUAUAAAAUUUGGUACUGUCAUUCAUCAAAUGAAAGAUGUGCCUUGUUUUUCUCAUUUCUGACCGUCCUACCGGAAUCAUUAGUCUUCGAAAUUCAAAAAAGUGGGUCCAAAAGAUCACGUUAUAAAACCAAUUGGCAUCACAAGUAGAGAAACUAGAUACGCACGUAUUUAAAGUUGAUCAAAAUUUUCGGAUCAACUUGAUGAUGAUGCUUUUAUCAAAAAAAAAAAAAACUUGAUGAUGAUGAUGAUGAUGCUGAUGAAGAGAAAUCUGUUCACAUGCAAUGACUUGAUCGUACUGAAUGAAUAUAACAGUAUAAGAAUCCAUAACAACCCAUAUAUAUAUAAAUGAUUUACCAAAAAUAUAUAUAUAUAAAUGAUACACAGAGUUACUGUUGAUUAAUUAGUUUGGUUUUUUUUUGAAAGCUACAAUUAGAAUCCAAACCCCUUUGAUAAAAUAAAUAUAUAAAUAAAUAAAGAGAUAGAAGGAAAAGAACAAACUAGAAUAAAGGGAGUGUAUUCAAUCUAAAAUUUGAGAUGAUUUGAUUUUUAAUGAGAUUUUAGAUGAGUUUAAGGAAUUGCAGAAAAUAAAAUGAUUUUGUUAAACCACUCUAAAAUAUCACCUAAAACCAUGAGACUUGAGUUUUAAUUUUUUUUAACUAAGAAACUCUACCUAAACGCUCUAAAAUGAAUUGAAAACUUUAAAACUCCACAACUUAAAAUAUUUUCAAUAACAGUGGAUUUCAGUGUAUUUUAUAAAAUGUCAAGUUCAAUAACACUGGAUUUUAAAUGAGUUUUUCUAAUUCAUGUUUCAAUAAUAGUGAAUUUGUCAUUUUGACACAAAUCACCUAAAACUCUUAAUUGAAUACACCCCCUAAAGUGCGUACAAAUCUCUAAUUUUUGUUUUAGUACAACAAAAUAGUAAUUUCUAUAUUAACAGCAAUAUGUGUACAUACUUUUGGCUAGCUAAGUGACCAAACUAAAGAUGGUUUUGUUGUUGAUCUUACUUUCACCCUUAUGCAUUAAACUGGGGGAACUGGACUUUUAAUUUUGUCUUCGAGUAUUGCAAUAUAUUUCGUAUUUUGUUAGGUUCUUACAUGAGGCCAUGACCCAUGGCACAAGCCACACCUAUUGGAAAAAUAUGGAACAAACAGCCAUAUUUCUGAAAUAUACUGACUAUUUUUUUUUAACAAGAAUACAAAUCUUAUUUUGUCUACUUUUCAUUUUUCAGUUUCAACAAACAAAUCUUAUUUUGUCUACUUUUCAGUCACAAAAUAAAAACUAACGAGUAACUUGACCUACUAGCUAAAACUUUUGGAUCACCUAGCAAGAGUGUAAGUGGUCGAAGGUUCGAUUCUUUAUAGGAGAGCUAUGAACUCCUAAAGAAAGUUAACAUAGUUUGGACCUUGUUCUAUAGAGAUGUAGAUCUUCGGAUCCAGAACUUCAUAAUUAUUAACAAAAAAGAAAAUAAAAAGUAAUAAAUUGAUAAGCUCAACGAUUCAAGUCAAUUUUAUGGCGUGGUUUUUUUUUUGUCAUCUGUUGUUAUAUUGAUCUCAAACUACAUUAGUCAAAAAACAUGUUACAACGGCCGUCGCGAUGAAACAACACUAUGAUCUAAAACCUGACGAUUUAAAAAUACAACUCUGAAAACAUAAGCCGGUGAUUGUACAAUUACAAUCCUAAAGACAAAAUUGCACUUGGACACACUUAAACUAACAAACAAAGACUAUAAAGACAGCCAAUAACAUAAAAGACCAACGACUACAACACUCUAGAUAAGACUCAAACCCAACCACAGAGAAAACAAACCGAGCCGAUAGUUUAUGGAUAACCGUUGCUGAUUGUGCCUUAUGGCGUGGUUCUUUAGUAGACAGCAAAAUAAACAAACAUAAUUAAAUUAAUUAAUUCCAUAUGGAAACUUGACUUAGGCCAAAUCAUGUAUUGGCUCCAGAGAUGCCAUUCCCUUACAUCGAUGUUUUUGCCCACCUGUCUAGCUCUUGCCACCGCAUUGUCUACUCCUACACCUUUUGUCAAUAUAAAAAGAUUAUUUAUACAUAAUACUAUAUAUAUGUGUAUGGUCCAUUCUCAUAUUAUUAUCUUAGUUGCGGAGUUUAUUAAUUAGACUCUAAUAUUAUCACAUCUACCAUUCGUUCUCACUACUAUUUUUACAAAUAUAACGAAAACAAAUCGUCGUCUUCGUUCCCAAAUAGUAAAAUGCAAAAUAUAAAGAUAUAUAUAAGUGUGUUUUCCAAAAAUUUAAGUGUCUAGUAGUUUAAAUAUAAAACUGAUGUUUACCACAUUUUAAAUUUAUAAUUGCAACUCAACUUAAAGGGUGUAAAUAGAGAUCGAAUUGAACGGAACCUAAUUUGAAAGAGACCAAAUUAAUGUACAAAAAACAUCAUAAACUGAGUAAUUCAAAUAUGAUUGGUAUGUUACAUUUAUAAAUCCAAUAACAAAAUUUUAGUAAGGGGACCCAAGCAGGCAUUUAAAAUAGAGAAUACGAAUAACGAUCGAGACAAGUAAAAUAAAAAUGAAAACGAAGAACGGAAACAAUAGAGAUACGUGAUGGGUUAAAUAAUGAAAAUGUUUAGUUUGAUGACCAAUGCUAGAAUUCAAAGCAACUUACUUUCAAAGAUAAGUAUAUAUAUUAACAAUAAUUUAACUUAAUUUCUUGAAGUUGAUUUUUUUUCUUAUCAACCUAUUAGGCUAAAUUUUCAUUUUCAGUAAGAAGAUUAAUAAAAUUACAAGCAAGUUUAGCUAACCUACUAGCAUUUCUGUCAAUAAGUUCUAUCCGCAAACAGUGACAAGCUAAAAUUUCACGAACACGUUCGGAUGGAAAAUAACUAUGCUAUCUAUAUUUGAUGGCUGCUUAUCACUCCUUGGUUUCUUUUUAUCAUCAUCAUUUUUAAAAACCAGUUUUUACUUCAAUUUUUUACUUAAAUUGAAGUAUUCUUUAUGAGAUCAUGUAGUACCUGUUAUCCACAAAGGAAUAAUCAUAAAAUGAUCACAUACAUUAUAUAUAUUCAUAUGAAACGCAAUCAUGCAUUAAACUACACAAAAUGUUCAUAAACAGCAUAAACUCAUGGAAAUGAGUUGUAAUUAAUGCAAAUUUUAUGAGUAUAAAAAAAUUGAGAACUUUGCUUUUAUUUAUUUUAUUAUUUAUAUACUAUAUAUAAAAUAUGUGAUAUACAUAAAAUAAAACGAGAUUACAUGUAUGAUUUUAUCUUACAAUGUCACGGUUAAUUAAUGACCAUAUGACUCGCGCGUAUGUUCAUAUAUCCUUCGUUUUGAAGAAGACGAUAGCGACGUUUUUGGUUGAGAAUGUGACAUUGUAUCGUGUGAAGCAUUAUUAUUGUUACUUAUGAGGAAACGUGACGGUAGACAAAAGUGAUACUUUUAAGAACCCUACUAAAAGAAAAACAAUGAUGUCCAAUUGUGUAAUUUGCUUCUAAUCAAAUCUACAACUUUGAAUAUUAGACUCUUCUUCUUUCCACUUUUUAUUUCUUAAUUUAUUUAUUUAUUUUUUUAGGUAAAAAUGUUAUUUUUAAUUUCUUAAUUUAUUUUGCGGAAAAAUAAUUUCCAUCUUUUUAUUCUCAAUUCAUUCCCCAUUUUUCAUCGUGGCCAACACACAAAUCCAACUACGGGCUAAAUUUACACCUACAUAGAUAUGCUGUAUAAAGUUAGACCUACAUAUAUAUGCAUGUAUAAAAUUAGACCUACAUAGAUAUGCAUGUAUAUAUAUGUACGAGAAUUAACUAAAAAAUCCCUUAAAGUGCACAUAUGUUUUACCUUCACCAAAUUAAUUUAACCCUAGACAUACACUCAAUGCAUAUUCUUUAAGAUAUUUUGUCACAGGCUCCUAUCAUUUAAGAUAUCUUGCCACAGGCUCCAACCAAUGAUACAUAUAUCUUUCGUUUUUUUAACAUAUUCUUUAUCUUCUUUGUUUAGCAUCAGCUAGGUAUCUGAGUUUCGCUGAAUCGUCCAGCUAAUCUGGAUGUGAGACAGCUUUCGUAAGGAAUAUCUCAAACCCACCACAUGUAAAGCACUCACACCAAAAUCUAAGUAACUCACUGUGUUGUUUUGUAUACUUCGUGAAACAUAUAUAAAUACUUAUGAUAUACGUGUAUAUGAAUAUUAAAGAGAAUAUGAAGGAAAAUGGAACAUGAAAUUUUCCGGUGAGAAAUAAGACCAUCUCUAAUAUAUUUUUUAUUUUUCAUCUAAAAUAGAAAAAAAAUAUUAUAGAAGUGGAGUUUACUCUACUGUAUUUUCUAAAAUAGAAAAUUUUCAGAUUAUAAAUUAUUCAAGGAGUUUUGCCCAAAAAUUCACAGUUUGGUGUGGAAGGCUCUUUUAAAGGGCAAAGAACAAAAGUGUGUUAUGUUUCCAUGACUAUUAUUAUAUUUAUAAAAAACUAUUAUUAUUAUUUUUAUUAUUAUUAUUAUUAUUAUUAUCCAAUCUUUAAUUUUAUAACAAUCGCUAUCAAGAAAUAACAAUACAAUGGUCAUCGUUCAAUUCACUACAAGAAAACACAUCGAAUUCCGACGGAGGUUCCGACGGACACCAAGGUCGUCGGACAUUUGUGACGGAAUACUGACAAAUUUCUGACCAAAUCCCAAAAAAUUAAGUCGUCGGAAUUCCGUCAGCCAUUUCCGACGGAAUUCCGACGAAAUAUGGUUCGUUGGAAAAUUCCGACGACUUUUCGACGACAUUCCGAUAAAAAAUGUAACCGUUGUAGUCGUCGGAAGUUCGUCGGUAUAUUCCGACGAAUUUCCGACGACAUUCCGAUUAAGAGCAAUGUCGUCGGAAUUCCGUCGGAAAAUACCGACGGAAUUCCGACGAACUAUGUGACCGUUGCCGACAAAUAUAUAUGACCGUUGUAUAGCCGUUUGAGAUUGGACAAUUCCGCCCGGCAUCCGACGGACUGCUUUACAUCCGUCGGAAUUUCGUCGGAAAGUCGUCGGAGGUCCGUAAGCAAUUUCCUAUAAAUACAACCCCUCCUCAUUCAACUCAUUCACACUUCAUUCUCUCUUCAUUCUCUUUAGUCAUAACAAUUCCGUGAAAAUCAUGUCUUCAGAAGUUUAUUAUCGUUCGUGGAUNNNNNNNNNNNNNNNNNNNNNNNNNNNNNNNNNNNNNNNNNNNNNNNNNNNNNNNNNNNNNNNNNNNNNNNNNNNNNNNNNNNNNNNNNNNNNNNNNNNNNNNNNNNNNNNNNNNNNNNNNNNNNNNNNNNNNNNNNNNNNNNNNNNNNNNNNNNNNNNNNNNNNNNNNNNNNNNNNNNNNNNNNNNNNNNNNNNNNNNNNNNNNNNNNNNNNNNNNNNNNNNNNNNNNNNNNNNNNNNNNNNNNNNNNNNNNNNNNNNNNNNNNNNNNNNNNNNNNNNNNNNNNNNNNNNNNNNNNNNNNNNNNNNNNNNNNNNNNNNNNNNNNNNNNNNNNNNNNNNNNNNNNNNNNNNNNNNNNNNNNNNNNNNNNNNNNNNNNNNNNNNNNNNNNNNNNNNNNNNNNNNNNNNNNNNNNNNNNNNNNNNNNNNNNNNNNNNNNNNNNNNNNNNNNNNNNNNNNNNNNNNNNNNNNNNNNNNNNNNNNNNNNNNNNNNNNNNNNNNNNNNNNNNNNNNNNNNNNNNNNNNNNNNNNNNNNNNNNNNNNNNNNNNNNNNNNNNNNNNNNNNNNNNNNNNNNNNNNNNNNNNNNNNNNNNNNNNNNNNNNNNNNNNNNNNNNNNNNNNNNNNNNNNNNNNNNNNNNNNNNNNNNNNNNNNNNNNNNNNNNNNNNNNNNNNNNNNNNNNNNNNNNNNNNNNNNNNNNNNNNNNNNNNNNNNNNNNNNNNNNNNNNNNNNNNNNNNNNNNNNNNNNNNNNNNNNNNNNNNNNNNNNNNNNNNNNNNNNNNNNNNNNNNNNNNNNNNNNNNNNNNNNNNNNNNNNNNNNNNNNNNNNNNNNNNNNNNNNNNNNNNNNNNNNNNNNNNNNNNNNNNNNNNNNNNNNNNNNNNNNNNNNNNNNNNNNNNNNNNNNNNNNNNNNNNNNNNNNNNNNNNNNNNNNNNNNNNNNNNNNNNNNNNNNNNNNNNNNNNNNNNNNNNNNNNNNNNNNNNNNNNNNNNNNNNNNNNNNNNNNNNNNNNNNNNNNNNNNNNNNNNNNNNNNNNNNNNNNNNNNNNNNNNNNNNNNNNNNNNNNNNNNNNNNNNNNNNNNNNNNNNNNNNNNNNNNNNNNNNNNNNNNNNNNNNNNNNNNNNNNNNNNNNNNNNNNNNNNNNNNNNNNNNNNNNNNNNNNNNNNNNNNNNNNNNNNNNNNNNNNNNNNNNNNNNNNNNNNNNNNNNNNNNNNNNNNNNNNNNNNNNNNNNNNNNNNNNNNNNNNNNNNNNNNNNNNNNNNNNNNNNNNNNNNNNNNNNNNNNNNNNNNNNNNNNNNNNNNNNNNNNNNNNNNNNNNNNNNNNNNNNNNNNNNNNNNNNNNNNNNNNNNNNNNNNNNNNNNNNNNNNNNNNNNNNNNNNNNNNNNNNNNNNNNNNNNNNNNNNNNNNNNNNNNNNNNNNNNNNNNNNNNNNNNNNNNNNNNNNNNNNNNNNNNNNNNNNNNNNNNNNNNNNNNNNNNNNNNNNNNNNNNNNNNNNNNNNNNNNNNNNNNNNNNNNNNNNNNNNNNNNNNNNNNNNNNNNNNNNNNNNNNNNNNNNNNNNNNNNNNNNNNNNNNNNNNNNNNNNNNNNNNNNNNNNNNNNNNNNNNNNNNNNNNNNNNNNNNNNNNNNNNNNNNNNNNNNNNNNNNNNNNNNNNNNNNNNNNNNNNNNNNNNNNNNNNNNNNNNNNNNNNNNNNNNNNNNNNNNNNNNNNNNNNNNNNNNNNNNNNNNNNNNNNNNNNNNNNNNNNNNNNNNNNNNNNNNNNNNNNNNNNNNNNNNNNNNNNNNNNNNNNNNNNNNNNNNNNNNNNNNNNNNNNNNNNNNNNNNNNNNNNNNNNNNNNNNNNNNNNNNNNNNNNNNNNNNNNNNNNNNNNNNNNNNNNNNNNNNNNNNNNNNNNNNNNNNNNNNNNNNNNNNNNNNNNNNNNNNNNNNNNNNNNNNNNNNNNNNNNNNNNNNNNNNNNNNNNNNNNNNNNNNNNNNNNNNNNNNNNNNNNNNNNNNNNNNNNNNNNNNNNNNNNNNNNNNNNNNNNNNNNNNNNNNNNNNNNNNNNNNNNNNNNNNNNNNNNNNNNNNNNNNNNNNNNNNNNNNNNNNNNNNNNNNNNNNNNNNNNNNNNNNNNNNNNNNNNNNNNNNNNNNNNNNNNNNNNNNNNNNNNNNNNNNNNNNNNNNNNNNNNNNNNNNNNNNNNNNNNNNNNNNNNNNNNNNNNNNNNNNNNNNNNNNNNNNNNNNNNNNNNNNNNNNNNNNNNNNNNNNNNNNNNNNNNNNNNNNNNNNNNNNNNNNNNNNNNNNNNNNNNNNNNNNNNNNNNNNNNNNNNNNNNNNNNNNNNNNNNNNNNNNNNNNNNNNNNNNNNNNNNNNNNNNNNNNNNNNNNNNNNNNNNNNNNNNNNNNNNNNNNNNNNNNNNNNNNNNNNNNNNNNNNNNNNNNNNNNNNNGAUUUUAAACAAGUAAACCUCAAUCAAUCUAUCAACCUAUCGGAUUAUAUAAGCAAAGCAAGCUAGCAACCUAUCGGAUUCAAUCAAUGUUUUAACAGGCUGGUCGGUUUAAACAAUUUUAAAUCAGAUGAACAAUUAACCAAGCAGGAUGAGAAAAUAAAUCUAUCAAUUUAACGGUCAAACAAUUCUAGCAACAUAGCAUCAGAUUCAAUCAGAUUUAAAACCUCAAUGAUCAAAACCGAAAACAGUUUUGAUUUCAAAAUAUUCGAUUAGGGUUUUAAUAUGUGAUUUGAUAAUUAUAGUAUAAUUAAUUCUGAUACUUAUAUUAUUUAGGGUUUAUAGAUAUAAGGUUAGUGUUUAUCAGAUUUUAACUUGUAAAAACCGAUUUGGGGUUUUAAUCAUGUAGGAACAUGAUUUAGGGUUUGGGGUAUCGAACUUUUAGAGCUUCGAUUUACUCAAUUAGGAUUUUUGAUCUAUUACCCUAUGGUUUUGAUUCAUAAAGAUUAGGGUUUUAGGGUUUCAUUCUUUAUCAAUCAAUCCAUGUUCGAUUAUGGGUUCUUAGGUUUUAAAUUUCCUUUUAACCUUAGAUGAUUGUUGAAUCGGACCACCAAAGGAGUUGAGCCGCGAGCUGGACACGAACGGGACGCGAGCUGGAAUGGAUUGAGUCGCUUCUAUCGGGUCGCAGACGUCCUUUGUUGCUUGAUCGGGAACGCCUUGAUCGUCGGAUGCGAGCUGUCUGAUGCUGUCGCGAACGAGGAAGAGGUCACGUACUGGAGCUGCUCUCGGGUCGCGAACGUCUGAGCUAGGAUCAUGAACGUUUUAGGCUGAAGCUGAUCGGGGACGCGAGCUGGAACAGAUGCAGGAACAAGAGACGCGAUCGGGGUUUAGGGUUCGUCGGAUCGCUGGCUAAAGUUAGGGUUUUAGGGUUUUUCGAUAUGGGUAUUAGAUUAGGGAUUUAGAGUUUCGUGCUGAUAACAUGUUGUAAAAGUAAUGGAAAAGUCUAUUUUUAUUCAUAACAUAGAGGUUCCUUAUAUAGGAGAUUACACCGUCAUAGAUAAAUGGAAAGAUUACAAAUCAUAAUCUUUUGGUCACAAUCUGGUUCAUAACACAAAUUAUAAUAUACAUCACUAUUUUUAAAGCUAUAGGGUUUGAAAGUAAGGUUGGAGAUAGAGUUUGAAAGUGGGUUUUGGAUUUUAAGGUAAGAGAUUAAAGUUUGAAAAUAUGUUGAAAAUUGAAAUCUUUUAAAAGUGUUAUUUUUUGUGGGUUAUAAAUGUUCAAUUUUGAAAUUUGUUAUAAGUGUUAGAUGUUGGAAUUUAGGGUAUGUUUAAUAAGGGUUUAUAAUUUGGGGUCAAAUAUAUUUUUUUCAAAAAACUUGUUAUUAGUGUUUUUUUUUGGUCAUAUUAGUUGUUUUAUCUUCAGAUUUUUAUUAGAUUAUGGAAAUUUAGGGUUUAGGGUAUGGUCAGGGUUAAAAUUUUCUAUCAAUAACCGCAAAAUACAUUAUGUCUAUGUAUUUCUACUAUUGUUUUAGUGGCUAAUAGUGAAUAUUGAUUUCCACAAAAUCUUUUUGUGGUUAAUUAUGGUUUACUUUCUACCAAUACAAAGCAUAGUUUGUGGCAAUUUAGCCACAAAAAUCUAUAAGAUAGCUACUAAUCCUAGUAUUUAAAAUUUGUUGCUGUUUUUGUGGUUAUUUGUAACUUUUAUAUUAUAGCCACAAAACUUUUGUUGCUAAUUUGUGGCUAUGGACAAUUUUUCUUGUAGUGCGCUACACCAGUCCUGAACAUUAAACCUACUGAGACCUUCAAGGAAAAACCACAUAUGUAACUCUUCCACUUGGUUUCUCCAUCCCUCUUGCAAGAUGCAGAGAACGAGCUGGUACUCCCCUGAAGAUUGAAAAAACAACAUCAUCACUCAACAUAAGCUGAGAAUCAAAUCAAAAUAGAAAUCAGAUCACAUGUAAUACUGAGUCACUUCAUCAACUCUCUUGAAUCACAGCAUUCACAUUACUUUUACUAAAAUCACAAUCAAAUUAGUACAAAGGUAAAACGAACCUGCUAUGCCAAUGAACUUCCUUCUGAACUUUAACAUCGGACUUUUGAGCAUCUGUUGUGCCAAAAAACUGUUUAAAACAACAAUGUCACAGCUAUUGUACAAAUGUAUUUUGAUUCAAAUACUAUUUAAAAUUUAUUUUAAAUAAAAAAUCAUUGUACGAUUUUCUUGGACUUCUUUGUAGCAUUGAACUACUUCACAUAAUCUGACAUGAAUACUCUACUUGGAAAGAUUCAGUUAACAUUUUCGGCCUGCACGAUGUAGGAAUUGUCUACAGCCCUCGACCCAACUUAGACCGUGUAUGCAACAACAAAAUUUUCUAAAAGGGACGGUUAACUAUGUGUAUGUUGAAUUCUUGUUCCAACACCUUAUGCACUUACAUUACAUUCUAAAUCAAAUCAUCCACAAGAAUAGGAAAUCUUCAUAUAUGUAUGCGUAUCUCUAUAUAUUAAUAUUAAAAAUUCAAUACGUUAAAAAAUCUUACAACUACACUUAUAAUGAAACAAAAGUAGUAGAUUUCUAAUUUAAUUGAAUUAUCUUUCAGCAUUUGUUCAUUGGAAUUACUAGGUCAUGUUUGUGUUUGUUAUUUCGCAUAAAAGGUGAUUAAGUUAUUGUAUUUUGAUGUUUUUUAAGUAACAAAAAAAAACAUAUAUCGGUGGUUGAUAAUUUCUUCGAAAUUAUUAGAACAUGUUACAUGCGUCUCUUGUCCACCAUCACGUUACGAAUUCAUGAUUUUGAAUUUCUAAUACACCAAUUCUGGCUAUAGAUAUAUAGGUUGGAUUACUUUGAUCUUUCUUGUUUGAUUCACCCAUAACAUUUUCGUUAAAGCUUGUUGGAUUAAAAUUAGUUUGGCCAUGUAGAAUCCGAAUGUAUAGAACUCAAACAAACUUAAUAAGAAUUUGCUCUCUUAUUAAUCUCUCAAUGCUUUAGAAAAUCACUCAAAACUAAAGCUCUCACACAAUCACAAAACUCUCUUAUUUUAUGCCACACUUUGACAUCUCCAUAUAUAAGCAUAUAAAGUCCUAAACUCACUAGACAUAUGGUAUUUAGAUAACUCCUAAGUAUCUAGGACUUUCCUAUUUCCUAAUUUCAUAUCUCGGUAGGAAAUAGAUAACUUAUUUCUCAAGUUAUCCAAGCUUAAACCAACAUUCUCCCCCUUAAGCUUGAAGUCGGUUUUCAACACAUCUUUUACUCCUAGGAGCUCUCUCAUUUCUUUAAACUUUGUUCUUGCCAGAGGCUUGGUUAGUAUGUCAGCUCUUUUCAAGACUCCGGCUACAUGAUGAACUUCGAUCAACCCAUUGUCGACACAUUCUCGAAUAAAGUGAUAGCAACGAUGAAUAUGUUUGUUGCGACCGUGAAACACAUGGUUCUUUGUCAAAGCUAUGGCCGAUUUAUUGUCAAUCACGAUUGACACCUUCUUGCUCUCGAUCCCUGUUAUCUCCUCCAAAAGAUCUUGAAGCCAAAUAGCUUGCUUAGCUGCAUCAUUCCGCCAUGAACUCGGCUUCGCAAGAGGAUAACGCCACUGUCUCUUGUUUAUGUGAACUCCAUGUGAUUGGACUGUUUGCAAAGUAGAAAACGUUCCCUGAUGUGCUUCUACCAUCAUCCUCAUCCACAUUAUGAGAGUUGUCACUGUAUCCUUCCACUUUCGCAUUACUUGAUCGACAGAAACUAAGACCAUAUGAUAACGUUCCUUGCAAGUACCGCAACAUAACCUUCAAAGCUGCUUCAUGAGAUACCUUCGGUGUUUGCAUGUAUCUACUGAUUUGUCUCCAAACCGUACCUUUCCUGUGAUUGACUCGUUCAGGGUCUUGAAAUAGCUUCGACUUCCAGUCAUGUGAUUACUUGCACCAUUAUCUAAGUACCAAACAUUUUCAUUGUUUGUCUCAAACUCUCGGGGGUUGACAUUCUUCUCAUUCAAGUACACAACCUCAUGCAUCAUGAGCUGUUCCACCUCUAUCGUCUCGGCCUCCUUCUCCUUAGCCUCUAUGGUUUCUUGUAGCUUAAGCAAGCGAUCCGGACAAGUGGAUGCAUAAUGACCGUUUUUGUCGCAGCGGAAACACGUGAUCUUUGACAGAUCAAUUUCACCAUAGUAUCGAUCAUUGUAUCGUCCCAUCCCUCUGCCUCUGUUAUAAUACCUUCCUCCACGUCCCCUACCACGAUAUUUUCCAUUGGAGUCGUGAUUCAAAGAAGCAGAGUGAGAAUCCAAAUUCGCAUACAUAAGCUUUUGAGUAUCUUGUGUUUAUUCUUCUUCAUCCAUAGCAACACGUUCUUCAUAUGCCUUCAGACGUCCGAUAAUAUCCUCAAAGGUUGUAGUCUUUUAGAUCAAGAACUUGUUCCAACGAGGCCACGAUAUGUAUAUAUUUUCUUCGAGGAAGACUUGAGAGAAACUUUUUGACCAGUUUUCUUCAAUGGUUUCCCCUAGAGAAUUUCAGAUAAUUUUCCCACAAAAUCAUCAAUCUUAUCAUCAUCCUUCAUUCUCAAUCUGUCAAACUCCGACAUAAGAGUUUGUAAGCGAGCCUCUCGAACCCUAUCUGCCCCCAUGUGUCUUGAUUUUAUUGCUUCCCAAAUCUUCUUUGCAGUUUCUAAUUCUCCUAUCUGCAAGAUAAGUGUCUCAGGUAUAGAUUGGAAUAGCAAUGCAAUCGCGACAUUGUUCUUUUCUCAAUCGGUGGAUUCUUCUUCGACAACCUCCCAUACUUUAUGCACCUUAAGUAUGAUCUUUACCCUUAUUAACCACACAAUAUAGUUGGUUGAGUUUAACAUAGGACAGCUGAUAGAAGAUGAUUUCCCCUCCUUGGCCUUUAACGAGAACAUUAUUAUAUCUCUCAUUGUUUCUUUGCCUUGCUUCAAACGGAUCGAAUCCUAGAAGCUCUGAUACCACGUGUAAAAUCCGAAUGUAUAGAACUCAAACAAACUUAAUAAGAAUUUGCUCUCUUAUUAAUCUCUCAAUGCUUUAGAAAAUCAUUCAAAAAUAAAGCUCUCACACAAUCACAAAACUCUCUUAUGUUAUGCCACACUUUGACAUCUCCAUAUAUAAGCAUAUAAAGUCAUAAACUCACUAGACAUAUGAUAUUUAGAUAACUCCUAAAUAUCUAGGACUUUCCUAUUUUCUAAUUUCAUAUCUUGGUAGGAAAUAGAUAACUUAUUUCAAGUCAUUCCAAGCUUAAACCAACAGGCCAUACCCUAAAACAUGGUUGGUCCUUGGUCCCCCUCACAAAGAGUUACAAAAAUUUAAAGAGAAGUAAGAGAUGGAUUGAUGGUUGCGGAAAUCUAAUAAUAACAACAACAGAUGGUGUUCUUAUUUAAUGGUUUUCCUUCAUUGUCUUAUCAAACCCAAUCUUCAAACUUCUCUUUUCAUUCCUCCACCAAUGCCCCUAUUCUAUUUUGUUAUUUGUUAGUCGAAAUUUACCGCCGGACAACGGUCGUCGGAAUAUACCGACGACCGUUGGCCGUCGGUAAAUUUCGACGAACAAGGUUCGUCGGAAUGUACCGAGGAACACUCUGCGUCGAAAGUGUCCGAGGAAUGUUCUCCGUCGGUUCGUAGUUUUUCCGAUGAACUCUGGUCUCGUGUAUCCGCAUCGUAAUAUCGUCGGAAGUUCGUCAGAAUGACGUUUCUCGGUAUUCGUCAGAAAGUCGUCGGAAGUUCUGACGAAAUUCCGACGAAAUUUUUUUUUCCGACGAAACGAUACCGACGGACGGGUUCGUCAGAAAUUCGUCGGAAUCGGUCUAUUCCGACGAAUUUUCGACGAUUUCGGCCAUCAGAAUCCCCCUGUUUUCUUGUAGUGAUUAAGCUAUAUCAGAAUUUGAGUUUAUAUUAAUCAAAUUCUUAUUAGCAUAAAAAAAUUAUAUGGCAGCUGUGUAUAUAUAUAUAUACACAUUCUUAAGAUUAGUUCAAACUUGAACCAAAA